UUGAUUUAGGAUUUAAGUAAAAACUACUAGUAUUUUAACUAGGAUUAAAAUAAGAUUUGGUUGGAAUUCAUUUAAGAUAUAUUUUGGAUUUUAUUUCAAUACUUCAUUUGAAUUUUUUAAGGAUUUUUUCAUAUUUCUUUUGUAAUUUCUUUGAGGUUUUUUUAGAUUGAUUAAAGCUUGGUUAGCAUUCUUAAGAUUUAAUUGGAUAUAUUUAGAAUUCUAUUAGAAAUAAAAUCUUAUUGUUACAAUACUUCUUCUACCUUCUACAAUUAGAUGCUUGGUACAUUUUCAAGCAAGGCUUCAUGUAAUCCAAUAAUGUAUAAGUUGCUCUGCCCAUUUUGCUCCUUUGAUUGUCUUUUUUGUUACUAAGGCAAGAUUUGGAACCACCAUAUAUAUAUCGAUUGCUUGUGUUGUAUUUGCUUUUUCAUAAAGGUUAUUCUUAUAAGUAAGCUUUUAGCUGUAGAUUGUUUUAUUAUUUCACUUGAUGUGGAGGCACAAAGAAUCACCUUGCAUCCAUCAUUCUUAAAGGACAUUGUCCUUUCUAGCUAAUUAACUUGCUUAUUUUUUACUUCUAGCUAAGGCAUACUAUGAAUAACAUCAUAUCUAUGCUUUGUUACCUUGAACUUCUCUCUCAAGGCAUAGGUGUCAUCCAACCUCAAGGUUUCUUCUUCACAUGUCUUACUUAAUACAUUCUCUUGGUCAUCAACUAGGUGUAUACUUCUUCUUUUAAUCACCUUGAUUUUAAUCCCAAGUUGAUUGGUAAUUUCAAUCAAGGUGUAAUUUUUUUGUAUAGCUACAAUCUAUAAGUACUUGAUAUAGUUACCUUUUUAUUUAAUAUUCUAGACAAAUUAGUCAAUUAUUUUGAUAGUUUUUCAAGGUCAUGCUGUUUGUAUCUAAGAAAUAAUAGCUAUUUCUAAUACUAGAUUUUGAUACUUUUUAUUAAAAAGCCUUGUUUCCGUGUUUUACUUUUUUAACAUCUUAAUGAUCCUCAAGAUUGUGAAUCUACCUUGAUUUGUUAGUACCUAAAUUUUGAUGCUUUGGAAAAUCUCUAAUCUGAUGGCCUAGCUCUUGACAAUAAUAAUACAAUUCCUUUUGUUUCAAUAUUUUUUGCUUUGUGGUGUCAAUGAUCCUUGUAAAACAUCAAUCUCUAUUGGCAUUGAUUGUUAUGUCAUAGUAAUAGAUAGUAGCAUAAUAUUUUACCUUAUAAGUCAUACUCCAUGAUUUAUAAAAUCUAUAGCAUUGAUCCUCUCUGCAAUCCUAAUUGCUUCUUUAAAUGUAUGCAGAUCCUUUAAUUCUAUCCCUUGUUGAACCACAGGUUUCAAUCUUCAUUCAAAUUGUUCUAUCAUCUCCGCUUCUUAAACAUUAUUAAUUUGGAGACAUAGGAGCUUGAAUCAAGAGACAUAAUCUUGCAUUGACUUGGAUUAUAUAAGAUUAGAUAAUUGAUUACGAGCUAACUUCUCCAUAUUGAUAGAUCAAAAUUAAUUUUUAAAUUUGGUCUCAAAUUCCUUUCAGUUACAAAAUCCACCUUAAGCUCCAUAGUUUUGAGCUCAAUGUUGCCACCAAAUGGCUACUGUACAUUUUAAAUAGCUAGUUGCAUAUAUAAUUCCUUGAGUAGUACUUGUCCUAGAUAGUUGGAAGUAUUCUUGAAUACUGAAGAGCCAUUGGCAUACAUCUUCUUGUCUUGAAGUUCUAAAAUAUGUUUUAAACUUGCUUAAUUUCAGUUCAGUAGAUAUCAAUUUUUUUGCUCUAGAAGCUUCCAUUUAUCCUUAUAGAAUAGCUAUCUAGUUUAGGAGAUAUUGCUCCCAAGCUUCGAUCUAGGAUGGCUCUAUUAUAUUUUCCAUACUGCAAUUUCUUUGCCAAAUUUUGCUACCAUAAUGCCCUCUAUCCUUCCAAUUGACUUCUUAAAAGUAGCUUAUGGUAGUUCAUAAAUAGUAAUUAGUAUGACUACAACAAGUGGCCUUUAAUUAUAUAAUUUUUAUUAAUACAUUACCAAAGAAUAGACUAAAACUCGCUCUGAUAUCAAUAAAAUGGUGUCAUAUUAUAAUACAAUUAUAUGAUAAAAAUAUAAUCAUAAAUAAAUUUUUAAUUAAUAUUUAAUCAUCUUGGUUUAAUAAUAAUUUAAGAUAUUUAAACAUGUAAUUUAUAAAAACUUCUUAGUUUAUUUUCUUGUCUUGAUAGCUAAUAGAUUAAAGUUUGAUUAAUAAUUUUACCUUCUAAGCUAUAGAAAUUCUUUUAUUGCCUUGAAAAGGCCAUUAAUUGAUAAAAUCAGAUUAGAAGAGCUAAAUAAUUAGCAUAGUUGAUACUAGAAUUAAAUUGAAGAUAGGAUUGGGCUAAAAAAUACCUAAGAUAAGUUAAGUUGAUACUCGAGAGUCGACUACUUGUAAGACAUGGUCAAAAUUAGACCUCUAGCCUUUAAAAUGACUACCUACAAUAAAAUACGAAGGUAUUUGAAGAUCAAAAAUUAAGAUUAGAGAACUAGCUUUAAGUUGAUUUCAAAGGUAUAAAGAUUAUUUUCAAAGGGUUUGAAAUAUCUUUGCAAUUAUUGUUCAAAAUAGGAAUUGUAUCAGUAUUUUGGAUUUUAUGUAAUACAAUUAUGGCUAGCACUCUCAGCUAAUUCAUACAAUUGGUAUUGCAUCUAUAGUUCAAAAUUUGAAAAUGAUUGGUUAAUUAGGUGUGCUAAAUGUUUGUAAAGUUUUAUACUAAUUUAAUAAUGCAAUUAGGAAAUAUUUGGAUUUUGGUACAAGAAGAUAUUAAAAGUUGGCAAUUUGGAAUUGGAUAGGAUUUCUAUAAUAUCUAGAGAUCUAUUAGUCAGAUUAAGGUAAAAUUUGACAAAGUAUUAGAAGACUUCAAUAUCAAUCUACACAUUGAUAUUGAAUUGAAGUUAAUGGUUGGAAAAAAAAUGGUACUAAAACAUUUUUAUCAACUUUUAAAUUGGUAGCUAAGUGAUAUCAAUGUGAUUUUUGGGAUUUUUCUUACAAUUUAUAAAUUGGAUUGGAUUGAAUUCUUUUACAAUAUAUAAAAGGCUUAUAGUAGCAUUUGUAUAUAAAUUUUUUUAUCAAGUAGACAAUCAAAUUAGGAAUUAUAACUUAUCAAAGUUCAAUAAGUAGGAUUAAAACUUGUAAGGAGAAAUCAAAAUUACCUAAUUAUGAAAGUAAUAAGGCAAUUGGGAUUUAUGUAUGGAUUAGGUUAUUAUGAAGAGUAUUUUUGAGCACUUUUUACUGAUUUUAAGCACUUUUGAAUUAAAAGUUCAAAUUGCAAUCUUCUUAUAUGGAUGAAACUUAUUGAGGUUUCUUAAAUAUUUGUAAGACAAGACUUCACCUUUCACAAUUAGGUGCCCAAUGCAUUUUCAAAUAAGACAACAUAUAAUACAAUAAUAGAAUUAAAUUCUCUUAAAUAUCUAAAAUUCUUCCAAUCUAAAGCAACAUAAAUUCUAUCAUGAAGUAGGACAAAAUGGACCAGAAUAAAAUUGAAUAGAAUUAAAUAAAAUAGAAUAUAAAAGAUAAAACAGAGUACAUAAAAAUAGAAUAGAAUAGAACAAAAAAUACAAACCAAGCUUUAUUAAGAGAGAAGGACCAAAUCCAUAUCUAACCAAGUACUCCAAAUAGCCUUGAUUAGUCUUAUUUAUAAUUUCUUCAACCAUCUUAAAAAAAAUUAGAAUGUUCAUAUUAAUAGGCUUUAUUAAGAUAACUACCUUUUUAGAAUAUUUUAGAGGUGAAUCUCACCUUAGUAACUACCUUUUUAGAAGGUUCUAGAGAUGGAUUCCACCUAAAUAAUUGCCUUUAGUUCUUCUAAGAUGUUCCAUGGUGGAUCCCAUAUGAACCACCAACUUGGUCUCAAAUUCUAAAAACUUCUAAAAACUUCCUAAAAAUAGCUUCAAUUACCUAUCUUUACAUGUCAAUAAUAAAAUUAUCUUAUCUAUGCUCCCUUACAAUAUUUAGGUAUUUAGGAAAUAUUUACCAAGUUAAAAAAAAAAUAUUUGUGAAAGAGAAUGUACAAAGACAUAAAAAAAAUUUAGGAUCCUAUAAAACUUAUCAAGUAUAUUGAAAUAUUCAACAUUGAGAUGGAUUACAUCAAACGUAUUUUUUAUCUUUAUAUUACAAGUGGAUGGUUUAGGAAUUAAACUUUCUUUAACAAUAGUAUAUAAUCUAGAAGAUUAUAGUAAGAGUGAGUAUAGAAAUUCACCUAUUGUUAAGGCAUUAGUAAAGGCAUGCAAUGGCAAAGCAUAGACUACUACCAUUUGCAUUGUUGGCUAAUUAUACAAAACAUAUUUUAAUAAUAUGUUAUAUAUCUUAUGAAUAAAUAUAUAAGUAAAAACUAAUAAUGGCAAUAAAAGAGGUAGUACUUACAUGAAGUAUAUUAUCUUGAAGGAUGAUCUUAAUAGAAAAGAACUUUUAGCAAUAUAGAUUUAACAAUUAGAAAGAAGACCUAAUGAUAUUGAAGUAAUAUUUUAGAAGUUGAAAGGAGCAAAAAAUAGAAAUAAAGAAAGAUUUGAUAGAAAACAUUGAUUACAACUUAAAGCAAUUGAAGGUGGUGAUUGAAUGUUAUUUUAUGAUAAUAGCUUAGUUAAUCAAUACAGCUUAUCAAAAAAGUUUGCAAAGAGAUGAUUUGGACCUUAUAUUUUCAAACAAGUAUAUGAUAAUAAAAUAUACUUAUUAAAACAAAUUGAUGAUAUAGAAUUGAAGAUAUCUAUAGUAUGUACAUAAAUUAAGUUAUUUAAAUAAAGAAAUAAAGAUAUAUGUUUAAAUAAAGAAAAAAAUCCAUUACAAGAAAUUAAGAUGAGAAUAGAAGAAAAAAUUAAAGAUCAAGAAUUUGACCAAGAUGAAGAAUACUCUAUAUUAAUAUAAUGAAGAAAAUUUAACACAUCUCGAAAGAUGUAUAGGUUUAGAAAAGUGGAUGUUAUAAUAUAACAUGGCUACUAAAUGAAAGAAAGAAGAAAAUAUUAUAUUAUAAAAUAUUUUAUUUUAGAAUAUUUUAGCAAAUUAUCCUAGAAAUAUAGAUACUAAUCAUAUUGGAUUAUCUUACAAUUCUUUCAAUUGAUAAGUAUAAUUGAUUUCAUUUUUCAUGUGUUUAUUUUCAACUAUAAUAUUAAGAAGUUUACAAAUUUUAAGUUGAUAUCAAUAAUUUGAUCAUUAGUUGUUAAGGUUCCAUUUUGCUAUAGGAUUUCUAAGAAUUUGUUUAAGAAAUAGGAUUUGAUUAGAUUAAUUAAGUUUAGGAUUUUAUUUAGAACUACUUUAAGAUUUCAUUAAGAUUUGUCUAGGAUUUCAUUAAAAUUUGAUCUAGAAUUGGAUUAAGAUUCAAUUAGGAUUUUAAUUAAGAUUUGAUUAAGAUUUAAUUAGGAUUUUAAUUAAGAUUAUAUUAAGAUUUCUAUAUUUAUUAUUUCUUUAGGAUUCUUUAUUUUUUCUUUAAGUUAUUUUUUAGUAUUUUUUUAAUUUUAUUGUUACUUUUUUAAAUAUUUAUUUUCAUAUUUUUUAAAGAUUUUUUGUUAUUUUACUUUGAAAUUAAAUUAUGACUUCUUUGUAUUUUUUUUUUAUUUAUUUUAAAUAUAUUUUGAUAAAUUUAACUAGAUUUAUUAAGAAUUACUUCAAGUUUAUUUAAGGUUCUAUUAGACUUGGUAGAAUUAUUGGUGCAUUUUUACUUACCUUCUAUAACUAAGUGCCUAAUACGUUUUCAAGUAAGAAUAUACAUAAUAUGAUAUUGUACAUAUAGAUUACACGAACCUCAAGUAUUUUAUGUUGGCAUGUAUUUUUUAUCAUCACCAAGCUCGUUGGACCACAUCUUUAUUAAGAUUUGAUUUCAAGAUCACUUAUUGACUCAAAGAAUAAUAAGGUUUGUCAAAUAUCUUUUUAAAAUAUUUUUUUUUAAUAUCAAAAAAGAAGAUAUAGAUCUUGAUCAAGAAAGAAAUUUUUUCUUAAAGUCAAUGUAUUUUCAUCUUUAAAGAAUAAAAUCAAUAUUAAUUGUUGAUUCAACCUUUUUCAAACGACUUCAAUCAAGAAUGUCCUUUGAUCCUCUUAUUUAUGAUAUCAAAAAUAAUUCUUCUAAAUCUCAUCAUACUUUGAAGUUCAAGUUCAAGAAUAUAUAUUUUUUUUUUAAUUUUAGGAGACAAUUAUACAUUUCAAAAGUUGAAGUAUGAUUAUAUAUUCUUCAAACUCGUCACAACUUUCUAAUAGCUAGACAAUUUAGAUACAAUAAGACUUUAUACCUAAUUUUUAGAGAUUAUUGGUGGCUUCAAAUAUGGAAGGAAAAUAAAGACUUUGUAUAAUCAUGUGACAUUUUUUGAAGAUCAAAAAUUCCUCAUCACCAACCUUAUAGACUACUUUAGCCAUUAUUUAUUUCAAAAGAACCAUGGUCUUCUUUUUCUAUGGAUUUUAUUAUGGAUCUUCUAAUCUCAAGGUUAUAUGAUUCUAUAAUUGUACUAUUAUUUUUUUUUUUUAUCAAAAUAAUACAUUUUUUACUAUGUAUAAAAUCUAUCAUAGGUAAAAAAAUAGCUAUUUUUUUUUUUUUAUAAUAUCUAUCGUCAUCAUGGAUUAUCCAAGGAUAUUAUGUUGGAUAGGAAGAUUCAAUUUGUAUCACGAUUUUUGAAAACCUUUUUUAAGAUUCUAAAGGUGGACAUAGAGCUAUCUUUGGCCUUUUAUUCCCAUAUUAAUGGAUAUAUGGAGUGCAUAAAUCAAAUUUUAGAGCAAUAUUUAAGUUUACCAUCAACUACAAAUAAGAAAAAUGAACAACUUUUUUGCUAUUGGAAGAAAUUGUUUAUAAUAAUAUGAUACAUUUUUUUAUACAAUAUAUAUCUUUCUUUACUAAUUAUAGUUAUCAUCCAUAAAUUGAUACUUUUGACUUCUCAAAAGUUGAUAAUCCUACAACAAAAGAUUUGAAUUUUUUUUUAUUUGAAUUACAUACAAUAAUGAAGGUACAAUUUAAAGUAGCUUAAGAUUAACAAAAGACCAAUGGAGAUGCUUAUUAAAAGGAAUAAUUUCAAUUUCAUGUCAAUAACACAAUUGUCAGGGAUAUGAAUCUCAAAGAAAGAAAAUCCUUGAUACAUUCUUGUGUCACUAAAAAGAACUAAAAAGUCCCUCAAAAGAUAAUGUAAUAUUAAUAAGCAUGGCUAUUGCCAAAAACAAGAAGACUAGAAAGUCUUGAAACAAGACUAAGGACUAGAAUGGAGCAUUGACAAGAGUGAAGAAGGCUUCAUUCUUGCCUCCAUAUAUACUCUUAACUAGGACCUAUGUGGCAAUGUCCUAUAGGACUUCUAAAAUAUGUUGACUUUGCUAGCCACAUGUUUUAACUUGCAAGAUAAGUUAUCUAUGUAUAAACCAUAUUAUUAGCAUGUUCCAUAAAUUAUUAUGUAGAAUUAAUUUGUUCUAUAAGCUACCAACAUGUGGUUAACUUAUUGGUCAUGUUUCCAACCUACAAACACAUCUAAAGUCAAAACCACAUCUAUGAAGCUUCUAAAAAGCUUCACUAAAAGAUUUUAUGAAAUUAAUCUAUAUUCAUCUAUUUCUACCUAAUCAUAUAAAUAAUUAUUGAGGUAAAUGUAUAUGUCUAUGACAUUAUCCUCCCUUCUAGAGACAAAUUCCAUGAGGAGCGAUCUUCAUAUGUUGAAAAAGUCUAAGAUAUGGAAAAUUAUAUUUGUCACAUACUUUGAUCUUUGCUUUCUUUGAAGAUGGUUAAUAUGCCCUCUCAGCUAUCAAUAGUGUUCUAUACUAGAGCGAGAAGACCACCCUAUUAUUUGAUUGUUGUUGAUGCCUUUGUAAAUUCUUUCAAAUAAAAUAUUUGGAACACUAUUAGGACUUGCUCCUACCUCUAAUAAAAUCACCAAACAAUGGGAGUCUCUUCCAAGGUUGUGAUACAAAACACAUUCUAUUUGAAAAAGGAUAUGUCGUUCUUGAGGAUCUUUAUUUCAAUUUUGUCAUCUUGAAGGUUGUUACAAUCACAAUGUCUCAUUUGAUAAGUCAACAAAUAAAAGCUCUUAAGUUGAAUCUAUUGGUUGUUGGUUCUCUAUCUUCUUAGUAUUACAAAUACACACAAGCUAUAAAGAAAGAUAGGAGGUAGAAUGUUAUCUUUCUUUGCUUUUUUUUCUUUUAUAAUAAAGAUUUUCUAUUCUUCAUCUUAAUUUUCAUGGAUUUCAUUGAUAAAAAGCUUCAACUUUCUUUGUUGCAUUUGCAAGCUUCUUUGAUGGCUUCCAUGUGCAUUCACUAAUAUCAUAUCUGUACCAAUGAAUAAGGUAUUCCAACCUAUUUUGGCGUUGUUUUAAGUCUAAGACUUCUUCCACCUCAAAUUCUUGAUUAUUAUCUACUUCUAUAAGAGGAGGUGUAGAAUAGGUAAAUAAACUUUGUGGUAAGUUACUUGUUAGUUAUUGAUAACCUUAAAAAUUAGACUAAUGGUAAGGCAGUUUAGUUGGUAACAAUAGGUUGUUAGUGGAAUAAAUGGUUAAGAAUUCAAAGGGACAUAACCUUUGAAAUCCGUAGGUCGACAAAUUAUUUUUUUGGUAGCAUAAAUAGGUUGAGGAAAGAGCCAUCGGGGCCAGACUGUGAGAGUCGUAAGCCGGGAUAAGCUUGAUGCUACCUCUUUGUUUUCUUUGCUUUUAUUAUUUGCUUAUGAAGAAUUAUAAUUGAGAGAAGUAUUGUUGAAUUAAUAGCUGUAGAAUGGAUUAAGUGUUGAAUCAAGAUGGAAGUAGUAAGCCUUGGUAUUUUGUAGUUUGAUACUUGAUUUCAGAUAGCCAGAAUACAGUCAAUUAUGACACUAACAGACCCAAUUCAUAUAACUAGUCUUUUCUCGUAUUCAAACCCACCUCUAUCAGUUCAAUUGCUUUGAUAUAUUAAAGCUUGAACACAACGAGAAUAACAUUUUGGCGCCACUGUCGUGGAAAUGAUAACAAUAUGAAAUGCUAGAAAUUGAUUGUAUGGAAGAUGGAAUUAUAUAUUGAAUGAGAUCGUGAAAAGAAUCAAUUUUAGGGUUAGAAAUAUGUGAGUUAUAAUUCAAGGCAGUAUUGAUUUUGUCAGAAAGAAUGAAAGAUUAUGAGUGAUAAUCAUAAAGAGGAGGAUUAUCAAAGAAUUAAUUGACAAGCAAAAGAAAGACAGGAGUCAUUACGCAUAAAAAUUAUCCUACAGGAACGACAAAGAAUUGCAGGUCGAAGAAAAACCAAAGGAAGAAAAAUUCAAAUUCAAAUAGUAAGGAGACCAGUGAUAAUACCAAUGGCCAAAAGUAGGAGUGCCAAAAGUACCAAUUGCAGUACAAAUGGGAGCAGUAAGAGACCGAACUACAAGUGUGGCACCAUUACCUACUUUUAGUAGUUGGCUGGGCUCUGAAUCUGAUCACCAUAUAUCUCAAUUCUUAACAGCUUGUGUAGCUAAUAAUGGUAGAACUGAAGACAUUUGAUUGAGAUGGUUGCCAACAACUUUAAAAGAUAUAGCUUUUGAAUGGUAUAUUUGGCAAUUAGUGGGUAGAUUUCCUAAUUGGAAGGCCUUGAGGAAUGCCUUUCUAAUCCAUUUUAGACCAAUUAGAUUUGAAGAUCGGCUUCGAGAAAGUUUUAUGAAUAGCAGGAUGUUUGCGAAAGAAUUUGUAGAGUCUUAUUAUGGCCGGAUCGUGGAUAUUCUUCGUAAAUGGUCAAAUAAUCAAAUUCUAGAUGCAUUUAUAUUGUCGAUAUUAAUUAACAGUUUGCAUCCACCAAAAUUUAAAAUGUUUAUAAAAGAGGCUCGACAAGCUAUGGUAGAGGCAUCGUUGGCACGAACAAAGAUGUGGAAAGAAUGUUAUUAUGACCAAUUAUUAAUAAUGGAAGCCACGAUGAUUCCAAAUUCAAGAAGGCAACAAAUAUAAUCGAAAAAUGUGUCGAUGAUAAUUAUCUACAAAUGGCUACCUCCAAUAAGAAGAAUGUUAUGUUGCAACAACCAAUUAAUACUACACCACUCUAAGAAAUAGUGCCAAUAAUGAUGACACCUUAUUUUACAUUGUCAACCUAUCAACAACUGGAGUUGUUCACAAAUGCAACUAUUAAAGAUCCAAAUGAAGCCUUAUUAUUAAAUCUAACAAAGAAGAUAGAAGAAUUGGCCUUGAAUUUGGCUAAAGAUAAGGAGAAACGACAUAAGCCUUCUAAUAAGAGACCUAAUAUAUAGUAUAAUAAUUGUAAGGAAUAAGGUCAUUUUGAUAUGGAAUGUCCAUCACCUAGACAAACAGAUGUUCAAUAUACAUUUUGUGGAGGAAAGCACCCUACUCAAAACUGAUGGCAUUUACAAAGGCAACAACAAUUCAGUAAUCAGCCAUGAUCCCAUUGACUCUAUAUUGUCAUACACAAUUUUAUUGGGUUGACCGUGGUUGUAUCAAGCUAAAGCUCAAAAUGAUUGGGCCGUGAUACAUUGUGAUUGCUCGUUUUACUUAUUCCAAAAGAAACUUCCUAGAAUAAACCCGUAUAGGGGGAUUUGAAAACAGGGAAUGACUAGUUGCUUAAGUGUUGACGUUAGGGUCACACAAUCAAUUACUUCCUGAAUGUAUCAUCUCUAUUUCCAAUAUCUGAACACACAAAGAAAGUAUAAUCUCUUCCUUCACCUUAUCGGUCUCUUCCUUAUAACAAUUCAGUCAUAGCAAUAACUGCUAUUUCUACCAAUAUAUUCACCCUCAUAAUCUCCAACUAUAAUACUACGCCCUGACAGCUUUCAGCAUACAAUUAUCCUCGUUCCAAUCACUGGAAUUCUUCACACAGAACUGUCAUUCACAUUAGAGUGUUUCACACAAACACAGACUCAUUCUCUCUAUUGAACUACAAUCAAAUUUCAACAUUUAAUCUUUCUUCUUCUCAAAUAAUACCAAUUACAUUUCCAUUCCAUAAUUUACUUUAUAAUAUUUAGAAACUCUCAAUCUUCUUAUUCAAAGAAAAUAACAAACAAAAGAAAAGAGGUAGCACCAAACUUACCCCGGCUCACACUAUCAUAGCGAUGGCACCUUAAUUAACUUCUACAACUCCUAUAUACUUUUCUCUGAUUCUCCAAAUUCUAAUCGUAAUUCUGUAAUUGACCACUUUUAAUAACUAAAUCACUCAUCCAUCCUCCUGAAUUUCCUAUUAUAUGGACUAUUAAUAUAUUUUAUCAAUAUCUUUCAAAAACGAAUUAAUAUCUAUUCUACAUAGUCCCACUCCUAUCUGUGCAGCAUCCUCACAAACACUCAAUUGAUACCUAUCUAAAAAUUAUCUAACAAAACUCUACAAAAAUUGCGAUUCCUCUGGCCUAUCUAAUUAAUCAAUUGCCACAGUAUCUAUUAUUGGUUCUACCGAUUCUGGUUCCAACUGCAAAUCUUCAUCCUCCUCCAAUCCUUCCAUCAGCUCUUGUCUCAACUGAGCUGAAAGGUCUUCAUUAUACUUGCCCAGUUCACGGACUUGAGUUUCUAAUUUCAGGAUAUGGGCAUCUCUUAAUUCAAAUUGGCACUGAAAGUGACUCCUCUCUUCUGGAACUUCGGGAACUGGCAGCGUCGAUACUUGUGCUUCACUAAUAUUGACUAAAUCCUCUGCCAAUCUUAUCACCUCGGCAUUCAAGGCUUCAAUUUCAUCCCUUAACCGCUCUAUUUUACAUCUGUAUUAAUCACUCAAUACCAAUUUCUCUUGCGCCAAUAACUCGACCUUUACUCGUUCCAUUACCAAUUGAUUCUUCGCUUUUUCUAGUUCCAAAAUUGAAUUACUGCGAGCCCGAAAUAAUUCUUGCUUAUAGGUCUCCACCAUGCGUUCUCUUUCUUUGUUCCAAGCUUCUUGUUGUUCCCCAAUUUUUUGCUCCAAUAGCAGCUUGGAUUUCGCAUUCGCCUGGGUGAUCCGUUCUUGCUCUUCAAUUCUUUGGGUUUGCUCCAAUAUCACCUUUUUGCUUGCCUUUAAUUCCUCUUUACCACUGUCCUCUAUAUCCAAUGCUCGUACCAUGCAAUGUAUUUGUAAAAUAUACUUCAAUAGAGUAUUUUUAAGAUGUACACCUUCCGAUAGUCGGCCCUAUGGAAACGCUAACUGAUUGAUAUCUAACAACAUCGGGAUUUCAUUCUCCUCCUCCACCAUCGAACAAAUCGGAUCAGUUUCCAGUGCCAAUAGACGAUUGGAUUCUCCAAUUUCAUGUAUUACCUCCGUUGUAUUGACAUUUGGUGCCAACGAAUUCUGUUCUCACUGCGGAGGCAUUGGCACUAGUUCAAAACUUUUCUCUACUGGCGAUGUUUGCCGCAAUAUGUAUGCGAUCACAACAUACACAUAAUUGAAACAUAACAACACUAUAAACUUUCCUAUUUUGUGCUUGGCUCCCAUUUCCACAUGAAUACAGGUUGCUACAUAAGCUGCCCAAUUGAACACCAUCCCUUCAAACGUCCCUACUGCUGCAAACAUUAACUGUCUUGACAUAUAUGUGUUGUGUCGAUACAACCCUAGACACCUCACCAUGAAGAGCAACCAUUCCAUGAGCUCUGGUGUAAUUGCCUCAAUCGUUUUCCAACCUUGGUUCUUUUCAAACGAUGACAUACCACCUUUGAAAUAACUUCUCAGUCGGAAGUCACUAGACUCCUCAACAUCCACCGUAAUCUCUCCAACUGGAAGAAACAGUACUUUUUUGAGGAUCUUCUCAUCAAUACCGAUAAUGUGCCCUUAUACUACGCUUGAUCCAUCUUAUGGAUCAUAGUUUGUAAUGUAUUCUUCUACUAAUGCCAUAUUAAUUGAAGGUAAACUAUUUGAUCUUCGCAAAAAUUGAAACAUUUGUACCUUUCAAAAAUCUCGUAUUCUCCUCGAUGUCCAGCAAAUCUCUAGCUUCAUAGGCUCUAUAUUGGUAACGAUUACUACGGAUGGUGGUUCUAAAUUACAUUUAGCUUUUAUAUUUUGGCCACUUUCCUCUCUGUUCGUAGCUCUCUUUGCACUCUCAAUCGCCAUGACGUACACUCUUUUAAGCUCUAACCGUCAAUACUACGCUCUAAUACUCCAAAACACCCAAAAUUGUAACACCAAAAAGAAACAAUAACAGAAUACCAUACCUGAGAAUGACCGUAAAUGAAUGCCUUACUCCUAUUCUUUUAUCUAGUGGUGAUAACGACAACAUGUUACCCUUACUGUCCGUUUCUCACCUCCUUCCCAUCUGACACAUUAGUAAUUACUAACUAUCCUUUCAACUGCCUCUACACUCUAACGCACUUAAUUAGAUCUAUUCUAAGUACAUUCAACGUGACCUCCUCCAGAAAUUAAAAAUCCAUCUUGGAUUUUAUGUAUGAUAUAAUCGUAAUCGGUUCCCGUUAAUGCGGGUACUGAAACAAUGAUCCAUGAAAUCCUCCAAUUGAACAAAUCCAUUGGAAAAUCCUUCAAUUACACAAUAUGGCCCAUGCCAGCGAACUUGAAAUUUGUCCAAAAAAUGAUUAAAUCUGCUAUCAUACAACAAUACGAAAUCAUUGGGCAUAAAACUCUUCGGACGCAGUUUACUAUCAUAGUAACUCUUCCUCCGUUUUUGAGUUGCUUCCAUGUUGAAGAAAGCUGUAGCCCAUAUUUCAUCCAAUAUGUCCAACUCUACCAACUGAUAUUGGAGUGAUUCCUUAUUUUUAAGAGGUUCAUCCAGCGCAAUGCGCAAACUUUGAACUUCUAAUUUAAUUGGUAAUAUUGUUUCUUGUCCAUACACCAAUUAGAAUGGUGUGGAAUUGGUAGUCACUUUAUAUGCAAUACGAUACGCCCACAAUGUCGCAAACAAUUUAAUAUCCUAAUCCAUUCCCGCACCCGAAAUUAUUUUGGUUAAAAUCUUACAUAGAAUACUAUUGGUCUUUUCCAUCUGCCCAUUGGCCCGAGGAUGAUAUGGUGUUGUUUUCCUGUACUUGAUUUCGUAUGUGUUCAUCAAGGUUGCUAUGGUAGUAUUUAUGAAAUGGGUGUUGCGAUCGCUAUCCAAUUUCUUUGGAUACCCAAAUCGAGUAAUAAUAUUCUCGUAUAGAAAAGUGGCCACCGUACUAGCAUUAUCAUUGCGGGUAGCAAUAGCCUCUACCCAUUUGGUUACAUAGUCCGUGGCGACUAAAAUAUACUACUUUUGUCCAUGUCUCGAUGUUGAUGCAAUGGGUCCAACAAAAUCAAUUCUUCAUUUUUCAAAUAGUGUCUAUGCCAAGAUUGGUACUAAUGGCAUCGCUGAAGUACCCGUGGGUCGACCAAUUCAUUGAUAGGGAUCACAACGACAAACAAAUUGGUGCGCAUCAGAAAACAUUGUGGGCCACUAAUAUCCGACCAAUAAAGCCUUGCGAACAGUACUGUCUCCCGCGAAAUGUCCACCACAACUAUCCAAAUGACAUCCCUCUAGUAUCGAUUGUACUUUACUGAGAAAGAUGCAACGGUAUAGAAUUCCAUCCUGGCCUUGCUUAUACAAGGCGUCUCCCAUCAUCGUAUACGGUGCACUUUUUAAAAUCAAUCGUUUCUUGAGUUUCUCACUAUAUGUAGGUGGAAAUAUCUGAAAUGUCAGAUAUUGAAUCAAUUGACUAUAGUCGAUUGUAAUCACUUGGAUGGCAAAUAACUACGUGUCAAGAAGUGCAUCACUAAUAGGCUCAUUACCCAAGAUAUUGGACAAUCGAGACAAGUGAUCUGCAUUGGCAUGUUUCUUUCCUAGUCGUAUAUUGAUAGUAAAAUUAAAUUCUUGAAGUAAUAACACCUAUUGAGCAAUGCGUCCACUCAAUUGAGGCUUAUUAAUCAUGUAUUUGAGGGCAUCAUGAUCCACAUAAAAGACAAAGGGAUACCCAAUUAAAUAGUGCCAAAAUUUUUGAACCAAGUAUAUCAUAUCCAAUGCUUCUAGUUCAGUAGUAGUGUAAUUACGUUCGGCAUCUAUCAAUUGCCAACUAGCAUAAUAGAUAGGAUGAUCAAGACCCUUGAUAUCUUCUAACUUAGCACCGAUCCAAUAGCCACAUUGGGUGCAUCAACAUACACAUGAAAGGGCUCGGUCCAACGAGGGGCCACCAAUAUUGGUACAGAGACCAAUUUUGACUUCAAUGCUUCAAAGGCCACAAUACAUUCCAUGGUCCAAAUGGGACUAGUUCCAUCUAAUGGAGGUUUCUUCAGUAAGUUCGUUAAAAGUUGACAAAUAACUACAAAUGACCAAAUAAAUCGUCGAUAAUAACUGACAUGGCCGACAAACCCUCGAACACCGAAGACCGUCUCUGGUUUGGACAAGUUCAUUAUGUAUGUCACUUUGUCUGGAUCCGUAGCGAUACCAUGGCUAGAGAUGAUAUGUCCCAAUGAUUUUCCUGACGGAAUACCAAAUUGACACUUAUUCGAGUUCAACGAUAUCCCAAACUUAGUACACUAAGCCAAGCAUUUGUCGAGACAAUUAAAUUGAUCUUGUUUUGUACUGAAUGCAUAGAAGUCAUCUAAAAAGAUCUCCAUAAACAGUCGGAGAUAGUCAUGGAAGGCCUAAGUCAUCACUCUCUGAAACGUGGCUGAGGUGUUACAUAACCCAAAAGACAUCAUGCGACAAGCAAAUGUGCCCCAAUCUAUACUAAAGAUCACCUUGAGCUGGUCCUCCGUUGCAAUUUGAACCUGAUUAUACUCGGAAAAUCCAUCUAGGAACGAAUAACAUUCAUGACCUACUUCAGCAUCCAAUAUACUAUUUGUGAAGGGCAAUGGGAAGUAAUCUUUCUUGGUAGCCGCAUUAAGUUUCCGGAAAUCCUGACAAAUUCAGAUUUUUUCAUUUUUUUUUGGUACCAUCACGAUUGGAGAAACCCACUCACUAUUUGAUACUAGGUAAAUAAAACCAACCACAAGAAGCUUGUCCAAUUCUUCCUUCACCAUGAGGAAAUAUUUAGAAUUAAGGCGAUGUUGCCUCAGCCGUACCAGUUUAGCGUUCUCUUCUAAAAUGAUAUGAUACUCACAGACUUCAGCGGGAAUACCUUUUAAAUCAUCACAAGUUCAAGCAAAAGCGGAUUUAUGAUGCAAGAAAAAUUCGGUCCAGCAGGUCAACUCCUGUUCCUUAAUACCUUCGUAGACCUUAAUUGUCCGAAGUUGUGCUGUGGUCGCCAAGUUGAUAGUUUGACAUAAAGAUGCAAUGGCGAUGUUCUAUUUCAACCCCCGCGCUGGUUUAAAGUCAAUCGGUAAGUUUGACAUAUAUGAAAUACUGAAUCCUGUGUCCAAGGCACUAACAUGGUGCACAUCAUAUUUAGUCAUCCAAUCAGUACUAACAUAAUCCGAGUUUUCCAAGUUCGUCAGGUAUAUCAAAUACUCUUCCAGACCUCCACAUUGGUACACCACUCCAGGGUGUAGUGCUGCCUCUACGGGCACCUCCGUAAUCGAUGCUACUGCAUCGUCAUCGGAGCUAAGCUCAUUAUCCAACAUUAAUUCAGAUGCUGACAAUUGAGACUCCUUGCGAUAGUGUUAUGGGUACAUUUGUAACACCAUUUUGUCUCCGUCCUUACCAAUUAUCAAAGUACCCCGACCCCAAUCAUUCUUGGCCUUUGCUUGAUAAAGCCAAGGUCGUCCUAAUAAAAUUGGAUACGAUAAAGUUGAACAUUGUAAUCGAAAGAUGAUAUAGUCGAUUUCAUAUGCAAUACCGACAAUCAUAGUUUGAAUACUCCGUAAGAUACCCAUUGGUUUAAUCCGGACAUGAUUUGCCAUCUCUAAUACCAAUAUCAUGGAUACUAAGUGUUCCAAAUCUAAAGCAUCCAUUGUAUGAGCAUUCAUUAAAUUGACUCUGGAAACACCAUCCACCUGAACACCCGAGAUCAUAACACCAUCAAUCGAAACAUCGAUGGUUGGUGCACUUGAGUCAAGGUUCAAACUAACUUCACAAACUUCUUUAUUACGAUGCCUUUGUCGUGUUAAUGAUGAAUUCAAUGUAGAACGGUACUCUGGUGCGACCGCUAGAAGUUGCUUCAUAGAAAUAGAAGGCCGAAUAGCAUCUAGAUCCUUCAAAAUAUCAUAGGGUUCUAUACUUAGGAUAAUUUUCAAUGCUCUUUUUUUUUUCAUUGGUUUGAGUUUAACUGUGUGAGGUAAGAUAUUUUUCUGCCCUAGACUCGGAAUUGAAACAACAACUGGGGCUUCCUUGGAAUUCCCGCCUCCAAGAGGAUCUUUCAAUGGAUAGGACGUUUCUCAGAACUGUGUAGAAAUCAAAACUGCUUGGAACGGAAGCGAAGCCUCCGUAAUUGGGACCUCAUUGGGUUGUGCCACCAAAUCAAGUCUCAUACUGGGUAUGAAGCCCGUAAUAGGACCUGGAUUGGAUGGUCCCUUAAUUGGGUCAAAUUGAUCUUUUGCAUCACGAUUAUCCAAAUAUUGAAUUGAUCCUUUUUCUUUUUGGUACUGAGGGAACUUGGUUUGAUGACGUCAGUGGAACAUAUUGCUGAUACCUUUGUUGCUCCUUACCAUAGUUCUGGGGGUUUGAUGCAGACCUCUGAUUAAAAUUAAAACUUUGAAAGUUAUUGAAUGCUCAAUUUUGUCGAUUAAAUCGAUUUCCAUUCCAUCCAAACGUAUUUUCCAUUUGCACUUGAUUGACGUCCUAUUGGGUUGGUGGGAUCAUGGUCUGAUUACUAAAUUGUUGUUGUUGUCUUUGCCAAUUCCAAUAAUUUGCUGUUAGGUGCUUUUCUCUAUAAAAUGUACAUUAAUCCAUUAUUUGUGAUGGUGAGGGGCAUUUAGUUACAGAAUGACCAUGGCCCUUACAAUUACUGUACCAUACAUUGGUCCUAGUAUUGGUAGGCUUUUACUUCUUCUCCUUAUUUUUGGCCAUAUUGACGGCCAUUUUCUCCAUUUUCUUCGUCAAAUUCAAUAACAAGGUUUCAUUGGAAUCUUUUAGGGCUGGCAUUAUUGAUAUCUCUGCUGUACUUAAUACUUGUUGUUGAUACAGAAAAUAUGGAGCAUAUGCUGUUGUCACGUUCGGUGGUAUAGCUUGCAAUGGGGUGACAUUAACUGGCCCCUGAAUAUUGGUAUUGGAAUUGGCCCCUCUUUCCAACAUCCGUGGAUAACUACCCACUGAUUUGUUCCAAGUCGGAUUUUGAUAUCUACCUUGAACUAGAAUCAUUGUGGCUCCCGCAGUUAAAAAUUGAUCAUAAUGGCAUUCCUCCCAAACCUUGGCUCUAUUAAGGGAUGCAGCCACCGUAACAAAUUGAGCUUCCUUUACAAACAUUUUUAGCUCUGGUGGGUAUAAACCAUUGAUUAAUAUAGAUAAGAUAAAUACCUCCAGUAUUUAGUGAUUCGGCCACUUAUUGAGUAUAUCAGCCACUCGACCAUAGUACGAUUCCACCGCCUCCCUGUAGAAUGUAUAAAUGACUUUUCUGGUUCGUUAUCGGUUAAAUAGUAGUAAUGUUGGAAUUUAGAUGAAUGGUUAGUUUGAUUAGUUGUUAAUAGUAGGAAGUUAGGAACAUAUGUGGUUAAGAAGCCAAAGUUUCACAACCUGUGGAAUCUGCUGAAUGACGAUUCAUAUUUUGGUAGGAUAAAGAGGUUGAGGAAGAAGGAAUGGGGGCCAGACUGUGAUAGUCGUGAGCCAGGGUAAAGCUUGGAGCUAUCCUUUUGUUUUCUUUGCUUUUGUGUUUUUCUUUAGUAUUGGAUUUAAGAAAAGAAUUGCUAAAACUGUGAUUGAGAUAUUGAAAAUUAUGAAUUCGAAUUAAUUAAUUUGGAGAAAGAAAGUGUGAUUGUGAUAAUAGAGAUUAUUGCAUUGUAAUAGUAGCACUAGAAGAUUGAAUAAAAGUAAAGGAAUUGAGAAUUGAAGUAUUGUGGAAAGAGAUUAAGCAUCCCGUAGAUGUCAGGAAUGUCAGUGAUAUUGAGUAGCUGCAAGGCAAUGAACGAUUGUAGAGAUUGUGAAGGGAUUGAAUUGAGAUGAGGAAGAGAACUUUGGAAGUUUUAGAUAAUUAAUACAUAAUCAAUUGUGACAUAACAUAUCCAAUUCAUACAACAAGUCUUUCUUCGAGAUCGAACCCACCUAUACUGAUCAAAUAUCUUGGUCUUUUGAGUCCAAGUCAAACGACGAUUACAUUUUUGGCACCGUUGCCGGGGAUUGACAACAAUAUGAAAUGUUAAAGAAUUGAUGGUACAAAAGACGAGAUCGAAAAAGUAUGAGCGGUGAUUAUGACUAUAAUAAUCACAAAAGGAAUCAACAAGUAAAGGAAAGACAGGAGCGAUUUUAUUUCAAAAAUUUAUUACGACAACAACAAGAAGGGAUUCAACGUAAGAAACAUUGAUGGAGUUGGAUAAAGCCGUGGCUGCAUGCAUGUGCGACUAUUCAAGCAUAUCCAAGUUCUGAAAGAAGUACAAUAUUGUACCAUUAUAUACCAUUGGAAAAAUUACCGCGAGCGCUUGUAGGAGAUACCGCGAGUAACGAAGCGUCAGAGUCAAGUUCAGUAAUUAUAAGAAGUUUAAGUACAGAAGAAUUGAAUAAUAGCGAUAGUUUACAAGAAAGAAGACUGAGCAAAUAUCAAAUUGGAACAAAAAGAAGAAUUCAUAUUAAUAUAGCAAGAAGACCAGCGCAAGCACCAAUGGCAGAAGUACCCGUAGUGCCAAUAGCGGUACAGAUGGGAGCAAUUGGAGAUCGCACCACCAGCGUGGCUCCAUUAUCCACGUUUAAUGGAUGGCCGAGUUCUGAUCCCGAUCAACACUUGUCCCAAUUUUUGACAGCGUAUGUAGCCAAUAAUGGCAAAACUGAAGAUGUCUGGCUGCAAUGGCUGCCAGCGACUUUAAAGCAUACAGCAUUUGAAUGGUAUAUUUCACAACGAGUGGGAUAAUUUCCUAAUUGGGAAGCAUUGAAAAAUGCUUUCUUAACUCAUUUUCGACCAAUAGGAUUCGAAGAUCGUCUUCGAAAAAAUUUGCUGAACAGUAAAAUGUUUGUGGGAAAAUGGGUAUAGUCGUAUUAUGGCCGAGUUGCAGAUAUAUUACGUAAAUGGCCAAACAAUCAAAUGUCAGACGCGUUUAUAUUGUCAAUAAUAGUGAAUGGGUUGCAUCCUCCAGAAUUGAAGAUGUUUGUUAAGGAGUCUCAACCAGUUACGGUAGCUGCCUCCUUAGCACUUGCAAAAGUGUGGGAGAAGUGCCAUUAUGAUCAACUGUUGAUGGUGGGAACCACAAUGAUUCCUAGUAUAAGAAAUCAAGUUCCAAUGACUAAUACGAUGAUAGGAAGCUACCCACGAUUGAUUGCGCCUAGUAUGAGAAAUCCCAAUUCUCAAGAAGUAGUUAAUGCCACUCCUUUGCAGGCGAUACCACCCGUGGCAACUUAUCCUUCGCCAAUGGCAUAUCGACAAUCUGAAGUACCGAUGAAUGCAACAAUUAACGAUUCUAACGAAGCUCUAUUGUUAAAUCUAAUGAAGAAAAUGGAAGAAUUAGCCGUGUAUAUGACUAAAGAUAAAGAAAAAAAGCAUAAACCUUCUAAUAUGAGACCUAAUGUAUGGUGUAAUAAUUGUAAAGGACAGGGACACUUUGAUACAGAAUGCCCCUCACCUCAUCAGAAGAUAGGACAAUGUAUGUAUUGUGGAGGAAAGCAUAACACUGCCAAUUGUUGGUACUUACCAAGACAACAAACAAUGAUACAACCAAUUGUAUGGGAUGUAAAUCAAGUGCAAACAAGAAAUACGGGUGGAUGGAAUGGAAAUAGAAAUAAUAGAAUGAAUCGUGGUUUCGGAAAUUUCCAAAAUCCUAACUAUAAUCAGCCCUACGGGACCAAUAUGCAGAAUGGUGGCCAAAAUCAAAUGGGAAAUCAACCAUCGAUGCCAAUACAACAAACCAAUUCAGCAAUGGCGACAACUAGUCAACCUGGAUCCUUUACUGCACCAACAUGGAACCGACCUGGAAGGUAUGUGCUGACGGAGACCUCCUAUGUACGUGACGGGACAGGAAGAAAACCAAUUCGUUGUUUUCGAUGCCGCCAAUUGGGUCAUUAUGCAAGUGAUUGCAACAACCCAAGAUUUUUCGAAGAAUACGCACCUCUUUGCGCAAAUUGUAAGCAAUCUGGUCAUUACCACUACCAAUGUAAUGUGCCUUUUAAUCCAAAUAGUAGGGACCAGCACAUGACAUCAACAGUGUAAAUUAUAGAAGAAACAAACAAACCACAGGAAUCAUCGGUACAUCAGGUGGAAGCAAUUCACGCAGAAUUGACAAGAAAUCAGCAAAAAGGCAAAGAACCAAUUCAAAUAUUAGAGAAAUCGAUACCAGCCCCGGUCAACAGAUCAAUACCAAAAUCUGCUCCAUUAUUGGACGAAGCGUCACCGUCACAAUCCAAUUCGACCAAUAUAUUGGUGCAUCCACCAAUUUCACAAGUACCAAUAUUACACCAAUAUGGUGGACAAUCGCACCAGUUAAAGGAUCCAAUUUUCAAGGAGCAGUUGCAACCAAAAAUCGAGGAAGUACCAAUUCCUGAUAUUGGAAGUAUCAAUAUACGGGGACAGGGAUCCGAAAUCCGUAAGAAAAAAAAGACAUUGAAAAUCAUGACCAAUAUGGAACCCUAUGAUAUUCUGAAGGAUUUAGGUUCAAUUCAACCAACAAUCACAAUAAAGCAAUUAUUGGCAGUAGGACCAGAAUGACGUAACACCUUAAACUCUUUUUUGAUUCGAUGAAGAACUCGUCAAAAAGAAAUUCGUAAAGUCAGUUUGAAUCCGGAUCCAGGCGCGUUGACUAUUGAUGUAUCAAUUGAUGGAGUAUUAGUUCAGGGUGUACAAGUGAAUGGCGGGGCUAGCGUUAACUUCAUGAAUGUGGAUACAAUGGAAGAAUUGGGAUUGGACCAAUUAAUGCCAACUACGGUUGUUUUGCGAAUGGCAGAUUCAAGUCGAGUCCAACCAAUGGGUACUUUACGAGGAAUUGAUACAAUUGUUGCGAGGAUUACAUACACAAUUGAUUAUAUUGUAUUCCGAUUGCAAAGCACAAUAUUGUCAUAUCCAAUUUUGUUGGGUCGACCGUGGCUAUAUCAAGCUGAAGCUCGGAACGAUUGGGGUCGUGGAUCGCUAACAAUUGGAAAGGGUAAGGAUAAAAUAGUGCUCCAAAUGUAUCCUGUCCAGUAUCACGGAGAAACUCAAACUACCAGUCCAAAAUAUACAUCGGACUGCGAACAAGAGUAUAUGGAAGAAGAACUGGUUGUUUCAAAAUCAAAGGCUGUCGAGGCAUGGGAAGUUGCAGUACAAAAUAGGAAUAUUUACCAUUGUGGAGGAUCAGGAGAAUAUUUUGUUCCUCUAGACGUUAUUGAUGAUUCAGAUCAUAUGAUUGUACACUGGAUGCAGCGAAGAGAUGUUAAUCAAGUUGGUGCUAUAGAUCCCAAAUUAGAAAGCUCCAAUUUGUUGGAGUUUAUGAAAGAUCCCAAAACAGAGCAGAAGAUUACCACUGAAGCUCUUAAUGGACCAAAGUGUCAAUCAAUAAAUCUAGGCACAAAGGAUAAUCCCAAAUUGAUUCAAAUUUAUGAUGGUAUAAUGGGUAAAACUAAAGAGCUUUGGACAGGUUAUUUUAUAAAACAUAAAUCAACUUUUGCUUGGUCUUAUAAAGAUUUGAAGGGUAUUCCAGCUGAAGUUUGUGAGCAUCGAAUAAAAUUGGAGGACAGGGCUACACCAGUACGACAAAGGCAACAUUGACUGAAUCCUAAAUAUUUGUUGAUGGUAAAGGAGGAAUUGGAUAAGCUUCUGGAGGUGGGAUUUAUAUAUCAUGUACUACAUAGUGAAUGGAUUUUGCUGAUAGUUAUGGUUCCCAAGAAGAACGGAAAAGUCCGAAUUUUCCAAGAUUUUUGAAAGUUGACUGCUGCUACAAAGAAGGAUUACUUUCCUUUACCAUUUACGGAUAGUAUCUUAGACGCAGUAGCAGGCCACGAAUGUUAUUCGUUUCUUGAUGGUUUUUCAGGAUAUAAUCAGGUACAAAUUGCAAAGGAGGAUCAAUUAAAGACUACGUUUACUACGGAUUGGGGAACUUUUGCUUAUAAGGUCAUGCCUUUUGGACUUUGUAAUGCGCCAGCUACAUUUCAGAGGGUGAUGAUGCAAGCAUUCCAAGAUGAGCUACGGAUUUCAAUAGAAAUCUUUUUAGAUGAUUUCUGCACAUUCAGUACCAGAGAAGAACACUUAGACAAAUUGGGCCGAUGCUUAGGCAAAUGUGCUAAAUUUGGAAUUUCUUUGAAUUUAGAAAAAUAUAAAUUUGGGAUAUCCUUAGGAAAAUUAUUGGAUCAUAUCAUAUCGAAAACAAGUAUCGCCACCGAUCCGGAUAAAAUAAAAAUUAUACUAGAACUCCAAAUACCCGAUACAGUGACAGGUGUUCGCACCUUUAUUGGGCAUGUUAGCUAUUAUCGACAUUUUAUUUAUCUAUUUGCUGUUACCUGUAUUCCAUUGACAAAUUUGUUGAAAAAGCAACUACCGGACAGUCUCGAACCAAUUUGGACCAAGGAAUGUACAGUUGCGUUUGAAACAUUAAAACAAAAAUUGGUUUCUGUACCAAUAUUGGUUGCCCCUUGUUGGACAAAAUCUUUUGAGGUUUAUGUUGAUGCCUCUAAUGUUGCGAUUGAUUCGGUAUUGAGCCAGAAGGAUGACAAGAGGCACGAUCAUCCUAUUUAUUAUGCAAGCCAUCAGUUGGUGGCUGUCGAACGGAAUUACACUACAACUGAGCGAGAGGCUUUGGAAAUGAUUUAUUCUGUCCAAAAGUUUCGGCAUUAUCUUCUUGGAUAUAAAUUUGUCUUCCACGUGGAUCAUGACGCUUUAAAAUAUAUGAUUAAUAAGCCCCAGUUGAGUGGCCGCAUCGUAAGAUGGGUAUUGCUUUUACAAGAAUUUGAUUUUACUAUUAAUAUACGGCCGGGGAAGUCACAUGCCAAUGCAGACCAUCUAUCGCGACUGUCCAAUAUAUUGGGAAAUGAACCCAUUCCUAAUGCAUUACCUGACGCUGAGUUAUUUCUUGUUGAUCUAAUUACGUCGGAAUAUAGCGAAUUGAUAUAGUAUUUGACUUUUCAAACUUUUCCUUUUCAUUUUAAGAGAAGAUUGGUUUUGAAAAGCGCACCUUAUACUAUGAUUGGAGAAACUUUAUAUAAACAAGGGAAAGACGGAAUUUUACGCCGUUGCGUUUAUCAGAAUGAAGCACGCACUAUAUUGGAAGGAUGUCAUUUGGAUAGUUGUGGUAGACAUUUUGCAGGCGACAGCACAGCAUGCAAAGUUUUACAGGCGGGAUAUUGGUGGCCGACAAUGUUUGCGGAUGCUCACCAGUUUGCACGUAGUUGUGACCCGUGCCAGCGAAUUGGUCGUCCUACGGGUACAUCGCAAUGCCAUUAGUUCCAAUUCUGACACAGGCACCUUUUGAAAAAUGGGGUAUUGAUUUCGUGGGCCCAAUUGCACCUGCCUCUCGCCAUGGACAAAAAUGGUAUAUAUUGGUUGCCACGGACUAUGUUACCAAAUGGGCCGAAGCGAAGGCAACAAAAUCUGAUAGUGCUAGUGAUGUAGCCACAUUCUUAUAUGAAAAUAUUAUUACACGGUUUGGCUGUCCAAAAGAAUUGGUCAGUGAUCGAGGAACCCAUUUCAUCAAUAGUACAAUUGAAGCAUUGACUGCUAAAUAUGAGAUUAAAUACCGCAAGACGACACCGUAUCAUCCCAGAGCAAAUGGCCAAACAGAAAAGACCAACGGCAUAUUAUGUACAAUUAUCACCAAGACAAUAUCUGGUGCAGGCACAGAUUGGGACACUAAAUUGUUUGCUGCUUUGUAGGCAUACCGUACUGCAUAUAAAGUUACGACUAAUGUCACACCCUUUCAAUUAAUUUAUGGUCAGGAAGCAAUAUUACCUAUCGAAUUCGAAGUUCAAAGUUUGCGCAUUGCACUGGAGGAACGAUUGGGGGAUACGGAGUCGUUACAAGUUCGUUUCACACAAUUGGAGUAGUUGGAUGAAACUCGAACCAAUGCCCUAUUGAGACAGGAGGCCACUCAAAGGCGACGGAAAAGUUAUUAUGAUAGUAAAUUAAAACCAAAAUUUUUUAUGCCCAAUGAUUUGGUACUGCUUUAUGACAGUCGUUUUAAAAAUUUUCCAGGAAAAUUUCAUAUUCGGUGGCAUGGGCCGUAUAGAGUCAUUGAGGGUUUUUCCAAUGGCUCAGUCCAAUUGGAAGACUUUAUGGGUACUAAAUUUACCACGCAUAUAAAUGGGAAUCGACUACGUCUGUAUACUACAUAAACCCGAGAUGGGUUUUAUAUCGGUCGGGGAGGAGAGAGAAAGCCAAUUUAGUAUUGAAGUGACAGCGCAAGAGUUGUGAUGGGAAGAGAAGAGAGUGUGAUGAUGAGAUUAUGGACGGGUUGAGUGAAGGUGAGCCGUCAGGAAGACACUAAUAGGAUAGGUUGCUAUAGGCCUGUUAGGUUAAGUCAUAUCAGGAGGAGAACCAGGGUAGAAGUUAGAAGUGGGGCUCUUGGCUGGCAUUGUUUACAUUGCAAUUUCUUGAUUCACGUUGCUAAGCACAGGUUUUAGAGGAUUAUCGUGAAUAGCAAAGAUGGUGAUUGAGCGUAAGAAGAGGACAGCUACGAGAGAAGAGCGACAGCGUAAUGUCAAGACAAAGGGAGCAUUGCCACCAAUGGAGUGCGUGAUAGUGACUAGCAUGGAGCCGGUCGCUAUGGACAUUUUUUGGUCGCAAAAGAGACAGAGAGAGUUUCGCACGGUGCAGAUGUAUGGGUUUCUGAAGUUUUCGCAGAGGCUACCACCAAUAGAUAUAGCAUUGUUAAUGGAAUAUGUGACGAAUUAUGAUCCGGAAGACGGGUCCAAUGUGGUUCAUGGGAGAAUUAUUGGUAUAGAUGAGGUGAUGUUGAACAAGGUUCUAUAUCUUCCCAUGGGUGAGCUACUGGUAUCGGGAGACUUAGAGUCUGAUUUUGUUCCAAGCAAGUACUUCAAGUCAAAAAACAAAGCGUUUGAAAAAAAUCAAGGGUGGAAGACAGCGGAUGCACUUACGCCGGAGCUGGGAGAAUACAUGCGGUUUGUAUAGAAGCGAUUAGGGUUGAAUCGACAUUCGACGUAUACGACAAGGAGGUUAUUGUUUUCAGCAAUUGCGAUGCUGGAGAGGAUGGUCUUCAACUGGGCAUCGUAUGUUGCGACCAGAAUCCAUGCGGAAUUGGACAUGAAAAGAAGAACAAGGAAGGUUACCACGAUGUUAUGCUCCAACUACGUGUGUGAAGCAAUUAGAUAUCAAUUGAAGCAACCUUCAAUGGUGGAGAGACUAGACGCUGUAGCAACAGAGAUAAGAAUAGAGUUAAUGCCAUUGCCAGGAAAACAAGUCGAGGAAGCGACGAUAGCAAAGUACAACCAAGCUAGAAAUUACGAACGGACCAAUAUCAGCUCGUCAUCUAGAGAAUUGGGUCGUCCCAGUACCAAUAUGGCCGUCACUCCAUCAGUACUGGUAGAGUAUUAUCAACGGGUGGGUUUAUCGAGAGCUGGCCAGUAGGCAAGAGAACUCAAGGAGUUAAUCUCGGCACAAAUUACUCAAUUACAGAUGGCCGUUGAGAAAAUGGACAAUGAGUUCAGCCUUAGACAGGUACUAGAGGAAAAGGACAAGAUCAUUGAGGAUCAGAAGAAGAAGAUUGGAGAUUUACAACAUGCUUCAGUAACGGACGCUCUCAAAUAUUCAAGAUUAGAGCACCAAUUCAAGGAGACCCAAGCGGAAUGGGCCAAGGAGAACAAGUUGGCAAAGAGUCUGAUGGAGCUUACCAAGCAGGAGUGUAUGGAGUUGCGGAACCAAUACCAGGAGGAGAAGAAUAGGGUGGCAGAAUUGGAAGCCGGGAGAUCCAAAUUGGAGGACGAUUUUCGGAGACAAUUGGAGAGCUCGAAGAUGGAGAACGAGCAAUUGAAGAGAAGGAUUGCCAAAUUGGAGGCAGAAAUGAUUACAGUUACCACGCAACAAGGAAAGGUCAAUCUAGCAAGUACAUCUUUACGGGAAUUAGAGAAACAGGUGCAUGCCCUGGAGGAGCAGCUGAAAGAGCGAGACAUCCAAAUUGCGCUUUUGGAGUCUCAGGUUCGGGAAUUGGGAGCACUUAACGAGGACUUGACAGCUUUAUUGAACGGAGAGCAGGUGGGAAAGGGAGUUGGAGAAGAAGCUCAAGAAGUCGAAACCAAUCUCACUUAAGGAAAUGAUGAAACGGACCAAGGCGGACUAGAGGUUCAGACAUUGGAGGAAGCCAAUGAUGUGGUGAUAUUGUAAAACGUAGUAUGAGGUGGUUUGCGAGGACGCUGCACAGUAAAGAGUGGGGCUAUGUAGAAUGUAUAAAUGACUUUUCUGGUUCGUUAUCGGUUAAAUAGUAGUAAUGUUGGGAUUUAGAUGAAUGGUUAGUUCGAUUAGUUGUUAAUAGUAGGAAGUUAGGAACAUAUGUGGUUAAGAAGCCAAAGUUUUACAACUUGUGGAAUCUGCUGGAUGACGAUUCAUAUUUUGGUAGGAUAAAGAGGUUGAGGAAGAAGGAAUGGGGGCCAGACUGUGAUAGUCGUGAGCCAGGGUAAAGCUUAGAGCUACCCUUUUGUUUUCUUUGCUUUUGUGUUUUUCUUUAGUAUUGGAUUUAAGAAAAGAAUUGCUAAAACUGUGAUUGAGAUAUUGAAAAUUAUGAAUUCGAAUUAAUUAAUUUGGAGAAAGAAAGUGUGAUUGUGAUAAUAGAGAUUAUUGCAUUGUAAUAGUAGCACUAGAAGAUUGAGUAAAAGUAAAGGAAUUGAGAAUUGAAGUACUAUGGAAAGAGAUUAAGCAUCCUGUAGAUGUCAGGAAUGUCAGUGAUAUUGAGUAGCUGCAGGGCAGUGAACGAUUGUAGAGAUUGUGAAGGGAUUGAAUUGAGAUGAGGAAGAGAACUUUGGAAGUUUUAGAUAAUUAAUACAUAAUCAAUUGUGACAUAACAUAUUCAAUUCAUACAACAAGUCUUUCCCCGAGAUCGAACCCACCUAUACUGAUCAAAUAUCUUGGUGUUUUGAGUCCGAGUCAAACAAUGAUUACACUCCCCUAGGAUCAUUUUGCUGUUCAUUAACCUCUCUCAAAGGUGGUCUUCAAAACCAAUUGGCCAAAAAUGAGAUAAAAAUACAUUCUUUAAUGCUUCCCAAUUCGGAAAUUGAUCCACUGGUUAGCAGUUGUACCAUUCAAAUGUCGUAUCUUUUAAGGUUGCUGACAGCCAUCGCAACCAUAUAGCUUCAGUUCUGCCAUUAUUAGCUAUACAUGCUGUAAGAAACUGAGACAAAUGUUGAUCGAGAUCUGCACCGGAAAAUCCUCGAAAAGUAGGUAGUGGUGCGACAUUAGUCAUACGAUCGCCUACUAUAUCCAUUUGUACUGCAAUCGAAAUGGCUGGUCCUCCUAAUGCCAUUGAAUUUCUUAUUCUACUAAACUUCGAUUUAAAAUAAUCUUUGCUUUUCCUUAUUCUAAUUUCCGAGCUUUCAAUGCUCCUCGAUUUACUGUUAUUUUCUGCAAUUAGUUUUAUUGGUUGAAUUGUAAGUGAAAACGUCAGAUUUUGAAAUAUAAUAUAGUUAUCUUUAUUGGCGACUAAUUUGUGCCAAUCUGAAAAGCCACUAUUGCUCGUUUCAACGAUACCCUUUACUGAAAAAAUAUCCAAUGGAGUACCAAAUUUUUCUACGCCUCCUUCUCUUUCAGUUAACGGCCUCAAGAUUUCCACUGGAAUGUUAACAAAAUUUUCCGCAAGUGUUCUUGGCAGUUUUUCUAAUAGUACAUACAACUGCAAAAUUAAUAGUUUGUCUGGUUCUUGAUAUGUUCGAAUGCACCGACAAGCUUGCAACCAUGAUUUAAUCCAAUUCUAUCAAUGCUUCCUUUUAAGAUUACGUUCUUACUCCUCUUUAAGCAAGUUCCUUUCUUACGCUCUUCCCUGUCUUUCUCUCAAUUGAUUUAUUUUCCUCGAUGCAAUGCUCUUAUUCUUAUUAACCAUAAUCUUGCUUCAAACACUACUGAAAUCGUCUUUUAUUGCCAAUUUUCUCACACGUUUGGUAAUUAAUUCCUAACACUCAAAGGUAUUAUCACUCCUUGGUAGCAGCGCUAAAAUGUGAUUGCUCGUUUUACUUAUUCCAGAAGAAACUUCCGAGAAUAAACCUGUAUAGGGGGAUUCGAACACGGGGAAUGACUAGUUGCUUAAGUGUUCACGUUAGGGUCACACAAUCAAUUACCUCUUGAAUGUAUCGUCUCUAUUUCUAAUAUCUGAACACACGAGAAAACCAUAAUCUCCUCCUUCACCUUAUCGGUCUCUUCCUUACAACAAUUCAGUCAUACCAAUAACUGCUAUUUCCACCAAUAUAUUCACCCUCAUAAUCUCCAACUGUAAUACUAUGCCCUCACAGCUUUCAGUACACAAUUAUCCUCGUUCCAAUCACUAGAAUUCUUCACACAGAAUUGCCAUUCACAUUACAGUAUUUCACACAAAUACAGACUCAUUCUCUCUACUGAACUACAAUCAGAUUUCAGCAUUCAAUCUUUUUUCUUCUCAAAUAAUACUAAUCACAUUUUUAUUCCAUAAUUUACUUCACAAUAUUUAGAAACUCUCAAUCCUCUUAUUCAAAGAAAAUAACAAACAAAAGAAAAGAGGUAGCACCAAGCUUACUCCGGCUCACACUAUCAUAGCGAUGGUACCUUAAUUAACUUCUACAACUCUUAUAUACUUUCUCUUGAUUCUCCAGAUUCUAACCAUAAUUUUGUAAUUAAUCACUUUUAAUAACUAAAUCACUCAUCCAUCCUCCUGAAUUUCCUAUUAUAUGGACUAUUAAUAUAUUUUACCAAUAUCUUUCAAAAAAAAAUUAAUAUCUAUUCUACAUACAUUCACAAUUAGAAAAGGUAAUGAUAAAAUUGUGCUUCAAAUAUACCCUGUCUAAUAUCAUGGAGAAAUUCAAGUUGCUAGUUCAGAAUUCACAUCGGAUUGUGAAGAUGAGUCUACAAAAGAAGAAAUUGGUACACCUGUCCCAAUUUAUGCUGAUAUAAGGCAAGUUAUCGAGCACACUAGAAUGAACUACAAGUGUAAGGAACUGGGAGAGUACUUAGUCCCUCCAGAUGUUAUUGACGAUUUUGAUCAUAUGAUUGCAUAUUUGAUGAAUAGACAAGAUGUUAAUCACGUUAGUACUAUUGAACUGGAGUUAGAAAGUUCUAAUGUGUCAGAUUUUAUGAAAGAUCCUGGAAUUGAGUAGAAUAUUAUUCUAGAGAAUCCUAAAAUUCUACGAUGUCAACAAAUUAAUUUAGGUAUAGGAAAGGCUUCUCAAAUCAUUCAGAUUUAUGACGGUAUAAAAAACAAGAAGAAAGAAAUUUGGGUGGAUUACUUUUUAUAGCAUAAAAUUACUUUUAUAUGAUCGUAUGCAGAUUUGAAAAGAAUUCCAAUUGAAGUUUGUGAGCAUUGAAUUAUAUUAGAGGAGAAUGCUACACUAGUAUGCCAAAGACAACAUCGACUUAAUCCAAAAUACUUACUUAUGGUAAAAGAAAAAUUGAAUGAAUGCUUGGAGGUUGGAUUUACCUAUUCGGUUCCUUUCAGUGAAUGGAUUUCAUCAAUUAUUAUGGUACCUAAAAAGAAUGGAAAAGUUUGCAUCUGUCAAGAUUUCCAAAAAUUAAAUGCAUCUACAAAGAAGGAUUAUUUUUCUUUACCAUUCACGGAUAAUAUAGUGGAUGCUCUCACUGGUUAUGAAUGUUAUUCAUUUCUUGAUGGAUUCUCCGGUUAUAAUCAACCUUAGAUUAUAAAAGAAGAUCAAUUAAAACUACUUUUACUAUGGAUUGGAGGACCUUUACCUAUAAGGUUAUGUCGUUUAGGUUUUAUAAUGCACCAGCUAUAUUUCAAAGGAUAAUGAUGCAAGCGUUCCAAGAUUAUCUACGAAUUUCAAUGGAAAUAUUUUUAGAUGAUUUUUGCACAUUUAAUACAAGAGCCAGGUAUUUGAAAUAUCUCGAUCAAUAUUUGAAUCAAUGUGCCAAAUAUGGAAUUUCUUUAAAUUCGAAAAAGUACCAAUUUAGUAUACUUUUUGGUAAACUGUUGGAUAAUAUAGUUUCGAUGGCAGGCAUUGCUACAGAUUCAGCUAAAAUAAAGAUUAUAGUAGAUUUAUAGUUAUAUAUCUUUCUUUGACAAAUCUCUUGAAGAAACCACCAAUCGAUGGGACUAGUCCAUUUUGGACAAUGGAAUGUAUAAUUGCAUUCUAAACAUUAAAUCAAAAAUUGGUUUCAACACCAAUAUUGGUGGCACCUUGUUGGACAAAACCAUUCCAAGUUUAUGUGGAUGCAUCUAAUGUCGCGAUUGGUUCUGGGCUAAACCAGAAAGAUGAAUGGGGUUUUGAUCACCCUAUUUAUUAUGCAACUCAUCAACUGGUAGCAGUUGAAAGAAAUUAUACAACAACCAAAAGAAAAGCAUUGGAAAUGAUUUAUUGUGUACAAAAGUUUCGACAUUAUCUUCUUGGUUAUAAAUUUGUUUUCUAUGUCGACCAUGAUGCUUUAAAAUACAUGAUUAAUACUUUACUAUUCAGGUAAGACCAGGAAAAUCAUAUUCCAAUGUGGACCAUUUAUCUCGAUUAUCCAAUAUAUUGGGUAAUGAACCCAUUAACGAUGCACUACCCAAUGCGGAACUAUUUGCAAUAGAUGUAAUUACUUCGGAGUAUAGUGAAAUAAUUCAAUACUUGAUAUUUCAAACCUUCCCACCUAAUUUCAAUGAAAAGCUUAAAUGACACUUAAUAUUAAAAUGUGCCCCUUAUACGAUGAUUGGUGAAGCUUUAUAUGAACAAGGCAAGGAUGGAGUUUUGUGACACUGUAUUUAUCACACUAAAGUGUAUACUAUAUUGGAAGGUUGCCACUUCGACAGUUGUGGUGGACAUUUUGCGGGAGACAACACGGCUUGUAAAGCUUUACAAGUUGGUUAUUGGUGGCCAAUAAUGUUUGCAAAUGCCCACCAAUUCAUCCAUCAUUGUGACCCAUGUCAAAGAACAGGUCAACCUAUUGGAACUUCACCAAUGCCAUUGAUACCAAUUCUGGCUCAAGCACCUUUUGAAAAAUGGAGAAUUGAUUUUGUGGGACCAAUUGCAUCAGCCUUAAGAAAUAGACAAAAAUUGUAUAUACUGGUAGCAACGGAUUACGUAACAAAAUGGACUGAAUCCGUAGCUACGAAAACGGAUAGUGCAAGUACAGUAGUAACUUUUUUGUAUGAAAAUAUUAUUAUAUGGUUCGGUUGUCCACGAGAAUUGCUUAGUGAUCAAAGAACUCAUUUUAUAAAUAGUACAAUCAAAGCACUCAUGGCUAAAUAUGAGAUAAAAUAUUAAAAGACUAUACCAUAUCAUCCUAGAGCCAAUGGGUAAAUGGAAAAAACUAAUAGAAUUUUAUGUAAAAUCUUAACAAAAAUAGUUUCAGGAGCAAGCACAGAUUGAGAUACUAAGUUUUUCACAGCUUUAUGGAUAUACCGUUGUUGUAUGGCAUGAUUUGCUUUCUGGGAAUACACUGGAUACCUAGCUGUAGAGAGUGUACCUUAAACCUUUAUAUGAUUCUUUUCUUGGCUUCCAAAACUCCUUUAUUUUUGUAUAAAACUCCAAAUAUAACAAAAUCCCUUCAAAACACAUUUUUUCCGCGAAGGGUUUUCUCGCCUGGAACUUUAGAAAAUCAUAACUAUUGAUCUAACCGUUCAAUUUGUUUCAAAUUUACAAGAUAGGUAGAAUUUACCAUUAACUUGUACCACAAAAAAAACCAACCGCAAAUUCACUCCCGAUCUUCUGGCAUCUAAGAAACCCUAGCAGACACUCCAAACCCUAAUUUACAAGCACCCGAAAACUCUUUUCCUUAUAUCUCAAAAACCCGAACUCCAAAUGUCAUAAAACUUAUGUACAAAGUUUAUUAACAUGAAAUUACAAGUUCCUUGAAAUUUUGAGCCAAAACCUCACAAAAUUGCUCAAGAUAUAGCUCAAGAGACAAACACUAGUAAAUCGGUUUACUUACUAUCCUUAGAUUGCAUGUGCUGACUUCAAAAUCCAAUAACUUCUUCAUCCAACUUGGAAUCCAAUAAGCAGUAUGUGAAAAGUAUAGCCGCAAAAGUGCUCUCUCCAGUCGCAGUCGCCAAUCCUCAAUUGCCAUCUGUACGCGUGCGUUAUGCUGAAAAGAGUGACAGUAGGUCCAAAACUAACACCUUAACUUUGAGCGCCUAUAACUUCUUCGUAAAAACCCCAAAUGACACAAAACUUGUACCAAAACCUUAACCAAAAACCUAAACCUUUUGAUCCUAGCCUUCAAAGUUCGAAUGGCCUCGAGAAACUAACCCUAAUCCCUAAUAUGGCCUCGGGCAGCCUCCUCAAAGCCCAUUGGUCAUGAUUCUUGACUAAUAGGAAUGGAGAUUUUCAUCAUUCAUCUCCAUUCAUCUAUAUUGGUUCCCUAAUUACUCCCUUUGCUACCAAAAUCCUUCUUCAAUCCUUUUUCUUAUAAGAUUUACAUAAUGUAUGCUCUAAACACCAAAUAAAAGAACCAAAAUAAGUUUUUAAAUGUCACCAAUGUCUAAUAAAGGUGACUCUAAAUAUUUAGAAGUUACUAUCAACCAAAACCAAUCUUAAAAGCUACUAUCAAAAAGAAAUUAAAGUUAUAAAAAUUCUAUAGUAAUCUUUUUAUAAAACCUCUUCUCAAAGUAAUAAUCAAAUUAUAUCCUACAACCAAUUAAAAUCUACUAACAUAGCUCUCACCAUGUUACUUAAUAAAUUAUAUAUUAAGUACAUAAUUACAUUAUUUUCAUAUAGUAGCCGAACCACAACACGACACCGUACUGCAUAUAAAGUUACUACCAAUGCUACCCCUUUCUAAUUGGUUUAUGGCGAGGAAGCAAUAUUACCUAUUGAAGUCCAAAGUUUACGAAUUGCUAUAGAUAUUAGAUUGAAAGAUCAGGAUUCAUUACGGCAUUGUUUAGAAGAAUUGGAAAAAUUGGAUGAAACUAGAACCAAUGCAUUAAUGAUAAUGGAAACUACCUAAAAACGAAGGAAGACUUAUUAUGAUAGUAAGCUUAGACCAAAGGCUUUUAUACCAAAUGAUUUGGUACUUCUUUAUGAUAGUCAAUUUAAAAAAUUUUCAUGAAAAUUUCAAGUUCGAUGGCAUGGGCCAUAUCGAGUUUUUGAAGGAUUUUCAAAUGAUUCAGUACAAUUGGAAGAUUUUAUGGGUACUAAAUUUACGACACGGAUCAAUAGUAAUUGGCUUAAAUUUUACUAUACAUAAACCCGGGACGGGUUUUCUGUUACAAAAGAAGGAGUCGAUCCAAUUGAUUAGACCAUAGUAAGAAGUAGGAGGGGGGCUCUUGACAAGCAUCGUGUUUUUUUUUGUGGUUAAGGAAAAGAUGGCGAACAUGGUAUCUGAGAAAGUAAAGAUGGAGACCGAUUAGAAGGAACGGCAAGAACGGUUGCAAGUAGAGGUUGCGAUUUUGUAGACUAAAUUAGCCGCAUUAGUGAAGGAGGUCAAUAAUUUAGUACGGACCAAUAUGCUAGUUUCAGCAAUAACACCUUAGAAGAUACCUUUGAAAUUGAUAGAAGAAUGGCAAAAGAUGUUGGAGGAGUGUGACAACUAAUUUGCCGACUUGAGUCUCAGAUACGAGAAUUAGGUUUGUUGAAUGAAGAUCUGACAGCACAUUUGGAUGGAGAACCAUCAAACACCGAGGUCGACAAAGAAGUAGUAGAGAAGAAGGUCAAGAAUUCAAAAGGUGGUAAGUCAACGCGAUUGAUUGAAAAAGCCAACGCUGCUACGUCUUUAUAAGUUUAGGCUAAAUAAUAUUUGUGAGGACGCUGCACAAUUAGGAGUGGGGCUAUAUAGAAUAGGUAAAUAAACUUUGUGGUAAGUUAGUGAUUGAUUAUUGAUAACCUUGAAAAUUAGACUAAUGGUAAGGUAGUUUAGUUGAUAACAGUAGGUUGUUAGUGGAAUAAAUGAUUAAGAAUUCAAAGGGACAUAAGUUUUGGAAUUUGCUGAUUGACAGAUCAUCUUUUUGGUAAGAUAAAUAGGUUGAAGAAAGAGAGAUCGGGGCCAGACUCUGAGAGUCAUAAGCCGAUAACCAGACUAUGAGAGUCGUAAGCCGGGAUAAGCUUGGUGCUACAUCUUUGUUUUCUUUGCUUUUGUUAUUUACUUAUGAAGAAUUGUGAUUGAGAGAAGUAUUGUUGAAUUGAUAGUUGUAGAAUGGAUUAAGUGUUGAAUCAAGACGGAAGUAGUAAGCCUUGGUAUUUUGUAGUUUGAUACUUGAUUUCAGAUAGCCAAAAUAUAAUCAAUUGUGAUACUAACAGACCCAAUUCAUAUAACCAGUCUUUCCCCAUGUUCGAACUCACUUCUAUUAGUUCAAUUGCUUUGGUAUAGUAAAGCUUGAACACAAUGAAAACAACAGGAGGUGACAUUUGUCUUCUUCCCAAAAUAUUCACUAUCUUAUACAACUCAAGAAGAGAUACAUAAAAUACAUAGUCGAUCUUCAUAAACUUUUGUAGAUGUAAUCAAUAAGCAACAAUAUUAAUUUAUUCAUAAAUAGAAAAAUGUCCCAGUCUACAAUAGUUCAACUUAUUACAAAGAUGAGUAGUCAUAAUAUUGUGAUGAAGUAACCAUAUUUUGUCACCUAUGUUGAAUUGUGGUUGCUCCUUGCGAUAGGCAUCCGCAUUAGUCUUUUGCCAUCCUUGAGCUUCUUUUAAUUAUAUCUUCAUUAUUGCAUGUAGCUCUAAUAAAUGAUUUUUUAAAUCUUCUAUUACAAUUAUCAACUUUUAAAAAGUCAAAAGUAUUAAGUUGUAGAUGAUAACCAUAAUUAGCAAGAAAGAUGUUUGUUGAGUAGAAUAAUGUAUUGAAUUAUUAUAUGCAAACUCUAUCAAUGGCAAAAGAGUUGUUUAAUCAUCUUGAUGAUAGUUGAUAGUAUACCUCAAAUACUAUUCUAAAAUUUGAUUCAUCCAUUCCAUUUGUCCAUCAAUUUAAGGAUGAAAAGCCAAAGAAAGCUUUAUAUCCACCUUUAGAAUCUUGAAUUGGAUUUUCUAAAAACUUGAUACAAAUUGAGUCUCUUUAUUUGAUAUAAUAUCUUUUGGCAAUCCAUAAUAGCAAUAGAUAUUGUCAAUAAAAAAAACUUAACUAUUUCUUCACCUGAAAUAGAUUUUGAACAUGGUAUAAAAUGUACCAUUUUUAUGAAGCAUUCUAUGAUUACAAAUAUGAAAUCAUAUAAACUUGAGACUAGAAGUUCCAUAAUAAAAUCCAUAGAAACAAAAGAUAAUGGUUGUUUUGGAAUAGGUAAUGGUUGAAGUAGUCCAUAAGGUCAAUGACAAGGAGUUUUGGAUCUUGAACAAGUAUUGCAUGAUUGUACAAAGUCUUUGACUGCCUUCCAUAUUUGAGGCCACCAAAAAUCUCUUGAUAUUAGUUCCAAAGUCUUAUUGUAUCUAAAAUGUCUGGUUGUUGAAAAAUCAUGAUGAGCUUGAAAGACAUGUAAUCAUGCCUUGCCUUUUAGAAUAUAUAGGUGAUCUUUAAAAUAUAGUAAGUUGUUCUUGAACUCAAACUUUGAAGUAACAUUGGACCUAGAGGAAGUAUUCUUGAUAUCAUGAAUAAGAGGAUCAAAGGACAUACUUGAUUGAAUUUUCUUGACAAAAGUUGAAUCAACAGUCAAUAUUGAUUUUAUUGCUCAAAGAUGAAAAUGCUUAAACUUCAAAAAGAUCAUUCUUUGUUGAUCAAAAGAUGCAUCUCUUUCUUUUGGUGUAAGAUAAGAAUGUCUAAAAAGGAUGUGUAAUAGAUCUUAUUAUUUUUUGAGUCGAUAAAUCAUCUUGAAAUUGAAUCUAGAUAAAAACAUACUCUAAUAGACUUGACAAUGAUUCAAAACACGUGUUGACAUGAAAUACUUGAGGUUCUUAUGAUCCGUAUAUAUGAUGACUGGAUUUAAAGUGCUUUCUAGAUAAUGAUGCCAUUCUUGAAAUGAAUCUACAAUUGCAAGGAAUUCUUUGUCAUGGAUCUCAUAAUUAAUCUUGGUUACUAAAAUUUUAUUGGAAUAGAAAGCUACUAGAUGAAGUUUGUUAUCUAUUCCCAUUUGUGACAACAUGGCAUCCAUAGCAAAAUCUGAUGCGUCUGUUUUCACAAAAAAUACCUUAGAGAAGUUAAGACAAUAUAAGAUUGGUGCAAAAGUAAAUUCCUUCUUUAAAGCAUCAUAUGAUGCUUUUACUUCUUUAUUCCAUUUAAUUUUUUUUUACAAGUCAAAUAUAUAAGUAAAGUUAUAACUUAAAAAAAAUUCUUGAUGAAGAUUCGGUAAUAAUUAACAAAGCCUAAAAAGCAUUGUACAUCUCAUACUGUUCUUAGAAUCUUCUAAUCUAUGAUAUUUUGGACCUUCUUAGGAUCUAUCAUAAGGCAUUCAUUGGAAAUGAUAUGUCCUAAAAAAUCAACUUGAAUAGUAUAGAAUAUACACUUUUUUAACUUGACAUAUAAUCUUACAUCUCCAAGUUUUUGUAAUACACAACAAACAUGAAGUUAAUGUACUUCUAUUUUCUUAGAGUAGAUUAAAAUGUCAUCUAAAUAGCAAACGAUAAAAUUAUCUAGAAAUUCACAAAAAACAUCAUUCAUAAGAUGUUGAAAAAUAGCCGAUGCAUUUGUGAGUGUGAAAGGUAUGACAUUAUAUUCAAAAUAUCCAUACCUAGUUUGAAAAACAAUCUUCUAUUCAUCUCUUUUUUUGAUACAAACUAAGUUUUAUGCUCCUUGUAGAUCUAUUUUGAUAUAGAUCUUUGCUUAAUUGAGUUAGUCAAGAAGUCUUGAAAUCAAAAGCAAAGGAUACCUAUUCUUGAUGGUCAUCUUAUUGAGUCAUCGAUAAUCUACACACAUUUAUAAAGUUACAUCUUUCUUCUUUACAAAUAAGAUAGGAGCCUUGAUUGGAAAUUUAGAAUGGCAUAUAAAGUUCUUUGCUAAGUUUUCAUCAAUAUAUUUCUUUAAUACAACCAACUCAAUCUGCGUUAAGCUAUAGAUUGGUCCGAAUGGUGAUUGAGCUCUUUUUUACAAAUCAAUUGAACAAUCAUAAGGUUGAUGCUUUGGAAGAAUAUCUGCAUUCUUCUUUUUAAAAAUGUCUUAGAAUUCUUCAUAUUGACUAAGAAUACAACUUGAUAUUUUUUCACCAUUAAAAAUGGACUUAGCAUAUAUAGCAAAAGAUGAUUCUUUUUUUGAAGCAUGCGUGAAAGCUCUCACACCUAUCAGUAAAGAUUUGGAAGUGCUAAACUUUUAUACUUCUACUUUACUAAUUUGAUCUUGGAUUAUUCUACCAAAAAAAUUAAGGUUAUGAAAAAUCCAAUCUAUUUGAAGAUUAUAUUCUUCUAGCCACAAUAAUCCUAAAAUAACUGAAUUGGAGGGAGAUCUUAUUAUAUUAAAUACUACUACGCUUUUAUGAUCUUUAAUUAUUACAUCUAAAGGAACACUCUUAUGGGUAACAUUUUCAGAAGACAACAAAUGACCAUCUAUAACUUCUACAUGUAUAGAUUUAGUUUUCUUGACUAAAGGUAUUUUUUGAUUUUUAACAAAAUCUUUGUCUAUAAAAUAGGCUGAGGAUCUUGAAUUUAAUAAGGCAGACUUUUUAAUUUUUAAAUCCUAAACAAACAUCUAUUAUAAAAUGAGGUGAUGGAUUUGAGGAGAGAAUAGGAUCUUUACUAGAUAUUAGACAUGAUUUCAACUGCACGAUCCCUAUUAUAGCUAGAGAAACUCAUUUUUUGAUACAUUAUCUUCUUUGGUAAUUAUGCUCCUCAUUUGUAAUUGUGUUGCUUCUUAAGAAAAUGUUGGACAAUAUGCUUAGCUUCUCUACAGUAUAAACAUAAACCAUCUUAGUACCAUCUAGUCUUUUCCUGCUUUGUGAGAGUUUUAAAACGUAUUGCAUCAAUUUGCAUUGAUUUUGGCCUUUAUGAAUACAUUUCAGAAAACUUAGAAACUACUACCAUUACUUAACUUGUUCCUCUCCAACCAAGUCUUUAUUCUUAAUGCCUUUCAAAUAAUCAAUUAUUGUAUGUAAUGGCUUGAAUAAUAAAUUAUUCUAAAGAUUCUACUUUUGGUAUUGUCAAAAACAAAUCUUUGACACUAUCUUUUAAUUCAUAUCAAAAUUGGUUGAUGAGUGCUUUGUCAUUCUAGUUCACAUCUCAAGUAAGGUUUUGAAAUUCAGCAAUACAUAUAGUCACUGAUCAUGAUUCUUGUCAUAAAGAUAAGAGUUUGGUCUCUACUACUCGUUCUCAAUCACUUUCUCUAAAUGUGGCCGUAAAUACUUCUAAGAAUGAAUUCAAAUUAUAAAAGAGUUACAAAUCUUUUUUUAUUAAAGAUACAAACCAAGAAAUAGCACUUCCUGAUAGAAGUGCACAUAUGAAUCAAACUUGAGUAAAUCCAUUAAGAUAUUGGAAAAGAUGCAAGCUUAGAUAGAACUUGACUUGUUGUAAAAAUCUUCAAAAUUUUGAUCUUGUUCCAUCAAACUUCUCAGGCAUAUUAAUCCUUGUCCUCGUCAUACUUAUAAAAGCUAAACUCUAUAGAUUUGGUUGUAAGGUCGAUCUACUUGCUUCUUUUAAUUGCACAACUUCUUACUAUAGAUUCUCAACUUCUUCCAUAGGUAUAGACAUAGUACUUCUAUAAUUCAUGUUAGAAGUAUGUGAGAUUUUCACUCUAAAAGUAUUGACAAGCUCAUGAAGAUCUGUAAUAGUUGUAAAUCUAUUCUCACUUCUACUAGGUGUAGCAUCCAUAAUCUUUCCUUCCAUAGACAACUCAAACAAAUCCAAAAAGUUAAAUUAGAAGAGGAUAAUCCGCAACCUCUAAUAAAAAUUUCCACAAAGAAGAGUGAUCCACUCUCUUUAAGGAAAGAUCAAUGUUAGAAAAUAAGAUUUUUUUGUUUAAAAGGUGGAUAGUCUACAACCUUUAAAAUAUAAUAAUAGAAGUAGAGUAAUCCACUUACUUCUUAAACAAGACAAAAAUAAUAUGUUAAUACUCUUAUCAAAUUGUCAGGGAGAUGAAUCUCAAAGAAAGAAAAUCCUCAAUACAUUCUUAUGUCACUAAAGAAAACUAGAAAGUCACUCAAAAGAUAAUAUAAUAUUAAUUAGAAUAGUUAUUGCUAAAAUCAAAAAGACUAGAAAGUCUUGAAACAAGACUAAGGACUAAAAAAGUAUUGAUAAGAGUAAAGAAAGCUUCACUCUAACUUCUAUAUAUACUCUUAACUAGGAGCUAUGUAGAAAUAUCCUAUAAGACCUCCAAAACAUAUUGACUUUGCUAGCUACAUGUUUUAACUUAUAAGGCAAGUUAUUUGUGUAUGCGCCACAUGGUUAGCUUGUUCUACAAGCUACUAUAUGGAGUUAAUUUGUUCCAUAAGCUACUAACACGUGGUUAACUUGUUGGUCAAGUUUUCAACCUACAAACACAUCUAAAGCCAAAACCACAUCUAUGAAGCUUCUAGAAAGCUUCACUAAAAAACAUUAUGAAAUUAAUCUAUAUUUAUCUAUUUCUAUCUAAUUAUAUAAGUAAUUAUUGAAGUAAAUAUAUAUAUCCGUGACAACGAUAUGGUUAUUCUAUAGAACAUCGGUACAUAGGUCUUAGUUAGAUAGUAUAUAUAUAUAUAGGCAAGAAUGAUGGCUUUUUUACUUUUAUCAAUACCUUUCUAAUCUUUAGACUUAUUUUAAGACUUUUUAAUCUUCUUGUCUUUGGCAAUAGCCAUUCUAGUAUAAUAUUAUAUCAUCUUUGAAUGAUUAUCUAGUCUUUUUGAGUGAUAGAAGAAUAUAUUAAUCUUUUUAUUCUUUGAAGUUCAUAUCUUUGAUAAAUAUAGUAAUAUAUUAAAUUAAAAUGGCUAUUGUCAAAUAUAAGAAGACUUAAAAGUCUUGAAAUAAGAUUAAAGACUAGAAAGACAUUGGCAAGAGUGAAAAAGGCUUCAUUCUUACCUCUAUAUAUACUAUCUAACUAGGAGUUACAUAACAAUAUCGUUCAAGACUUCUAAUAUGUAUUCAAUUUGCAAGGUAAGUUUUUUAUAUGUGCACUAUAUCAUUCUCUUGUAUCACAAGCUAUCCACAUGUACAAUACACAGCUAAUUUUUUGGCCAAAUUUUUAACCUACUAAUCAUCUAUAAACAUGUUUAAAGUCAAAUAUAUAUUUAUGAAGUUUCAAAGAAGCUUUGCAAUAAGAUAAUAUGAAAUCUAUAUAUAUAUAUAUAUAUAUAUAUAUAUAUAUAUAUAGUUAUUUAUUUUUUAUUUAAAUAUAUAUAUAUAUAUAUAUAUAUAUAUAUUUGUGAUAUUACUUUCCAUUCUAGAGACAAAUUCCAUAAAGAAUGAUCAUUAUAUAUUGAAGAAGUCUAAGAUGUAAUGAAUUAUAUUUGUCAUAUAUUCUAAUCUUUAUUUUCUUUAAAGAUAGUUGAUAGAUCCUCUCAACCAUCGAUAAUAUUUCAUUUCAAGGUAAAAAGACCACCUUAUUAUAUGAUCAUUGUUAAAGCCUUUAUAACUUUUUUAAAAUAAAAUAUUUAUUAGACCAUCAAAAAUCGUUUUUACUUCUAAUAAUAUCAUCAAACAUGUAGAACCUCUUUUAAAGUCGUAAUACCAAAUGCAUUGUAUCUUUCCAUCUAUUCAAAAUAGAACUAAUCAUUCUUGAAGAACUUUUAAUUUUAAUUUCAUAGUCUUGAAGGCUAUAACAAUCAUAAUAUCUAAUUUUAUAAAUUAAUAAAUAAUAGCUCUUGAAUUGGAUUUCUUGAUUUUGAGUACUCUAUCUUUUUAGCACUACAAAUAAUUACAAAUUAUAAACAAAUAUAGAAGAUAAAAUAUAAUAUUUUUUAAACAAUAUUUUUUUAUAGCAAAGUUUUCUUAUUUUUUAUUUUGAUUUUGAUGUAUGUUGUUAAUAAAAAAUAUUAACCUUAUUUGUUGCAUUUGUAAGAUUUUUAACUAGCUCUCAUAUGUAUUCAUUAAUAUCAUAUCUACAUCAAUGAAUAAGAUAUUCUAAUUUAUUUUUUUGUUGGCUUGAGUCUAUAAUUUCUUCCACCUCAAAUUCUUGAUUAUUAUCUAUUUUUAUACAAAGAAGUGAUAUUUAAAUUCUUCUCAAGAUAUCCAUUUUUUUAUAUGGCUCAAAAAAAUACAUAUGAAAUGUAAGAUAAAUCUUCAUAGACUCCAAUAGAUAUAAUUGAUAAGCAAUUGAAUUGAUUUGCUUACAAAUAGAAAAUAGUCUAAGUCUACAGUAAUUUAAUUUAUCACAAGGAUGGCUAAUCUUAAUAAAAUAAUCAUAUCUUAUUGCCAACAUAACAUUAAGAUUGCUUCUUAUAAAAGACAUCUAUGUUAGUUUUUUUUUUGUUUUUAAGUUUCUUUUAGUUAUGCCUUCAUUAUUGUAUGUAGCUCAGUUAAAUUAUUUGCUAAAUCUUCUAUUGUAAGAUUAUUAACUUUUGAAAAGUCAAAAGUAUCAAGCAUAAUUCGUAAAAAAAACUAUUUAUUGUAUAGAAGAAUAUAUUAUAUUAUUAUAAGAAAAUUUUAUCAAUAGUAAUAGAAUUUUUUAAUCACCUUAUUAAUAAUUGAUGGUACACUUCAAAUACUGCUUCAAAAUUUGGUCUAUGUACUCUGUUUAUCCAUUGAUUUGAGGAUAAAAAGCCAAAGAUAGCUUUUUAUCUACCUUUAAAAUCUUAAAAAUAUUUUUUUAAAUCUUAAUAAAAAUUAAUCUUCUUAUUUAAUAUAAUAUUCUUCCAUAAUCUAUCAAAGCAAUAAAUAUUAUCAAGAAAAAACUUAGUAUUUUUUUUUAUCAAUGAUAAAUUUUGUACAUGGUGCAAAACGUACCAUCUUAAUAAAUUGAUCUACUAUCACAAAUAUAAAAUCAUACAAACUUGUAACUAAAAGGGUGUAAUAAAAUCCAUAGAAAUAAAAAACCAUUGUUAUUUUGAAAUAAGUAAUGGCUAAAAAGGUCUAUAAGGUUGAUGACAAAGAGAUUUUAAUCUUCAAAAUAUGUCACAAGAUUGUACAAAGUCUUUGAUUACCUUUUAUAUUUGAGGCUACCAAAAAUCUCUUAAUAUUAAUUCCAAAGUCUUGUGGAAUCCAAAAUAUUUAAUUGUUGAAAAAUUAUGACAAACUUAAAAAACACAUAAGCAUAUUUUAUUUUCUAGAGUAUAUAAACAUUCCUUCAAAUAGAAUAGAUUAUUCUUGAACUUGAAUUUAAAAAUUUCAUGGGACUCAGAACUUGCUUAAAAAAGGUUGAAUCAACAAUUGAUGUUGAUUUCAUUCUUUCAAGAUAAAAAUUCUUUUGAGUCCCACUAAUAGAUCUUAAUUAAUAGAAUUAUUAAAAAUAUAGAUUUUAAUUAUUUAAAUAUAAAAAUAUUAAUAUAAAAGAAUAUUAUUGAUGAUUUAAGUAUUUAUUAUAAAUUUAUUUUCUACCUAUUAUAUAUAUAUAUAUAUAUAUAUAUAUAUAUAUAUAUAUAUAUAUAUAUACAUAUAAAAAAAUCUAUAAAUAUUAGUCAAUAGUUAGAAGAAGCAUGAAAAUAAACCUCAUAUCUUUUUAGUUAUAUUAAGAAUAGAAUUUUUAGUAGAUUUAAAUUAAUUUUAUUACUAUAAAAAUAUUAAAAUAAAAAAAUUGGCUUUGAUUUGAUAUUAGUAUUAUAAAAAUAUUAUAAAGAAUUUAGAGUUUAUUUAGAAUUUUUAAAGAAGUUUUAGAAAAAAAUUCAAGAUUUUAAUAAAAUUGAGUUUUUACCACCUUGAGAGCUAUUAUAAAGAUGUGGAGGAAGAUUUAAAGGCCAUUUAUAUAUCACAUGCUAAUUGGAUGUUUUUGGAUACUAUGGUAUAGUUAAAAAUAAAAAUAUUAUGAAUUUUAUCAAUAAAAAAUAGGAAGAUCAACAACUAAUGUAAUUCUUAUAAAAAAGGAUGUAGCAAGUUUCUAUUGAAAAAAUAGAAUAAGAAAGACACAAGUAAGUAGAAAUCAAAAUUAUUUCAUAUAAAAAAAAUGUAGAAUGAGAUGCUUCUUUUUUCCAAUAUUCUUUAUUUAUAGGAAGAAUUUAUAUCUAUUAUAGUUGAACUUCAUCUAUAAUCAUCUUCAUCCAUUCAAAUUAAUCCUAGAUUCUUCUUAACCUAGCAUUUAUGUCAAAUCUUAGUUGCCAUAUUAAUAAAUUAUCUUCAUUAUUUUAUUAUUUUUUAACUAUUAGCAACUUAUCUAAGAUAAUUGUAUCUUAUUUUUAUUUUUAUACUCCCUUUUUGCUAUUGGUCAAAGACUUUUAAACUUAAUGUCUUUAUCAACUUUUGAUGCCUAUCUUUUAUUAACACUUUUUUUAGAAAAUCAAUAAGUAUAUCUUUUGUUAUAUAAUACUUUAUAUCAAUCACUCCGAUUUCAAUCUUCUUUCUUAUGAAGUAAUGUUGAAUGUCAAUAUAUUUGGUUUUUGAGUGAUACUUUGGAUUCUUUGCAAAAGCAAAACAUCCUUGGUUAUCACACUUUAUUGAAGUUGCUUCUAAUUGCAUCAAUCCAAUGUCUUCUAUGAUUUGUCUUAGCCAAAUUGCCUCCAUUGUAUCUUAACUUGCUGCCAUGUAUUUCACCUCCAUUAUGGACCUUGCAAUUGUUAGUUAUUUCUUAUAAUUCUAUAAAAUUGUCUCUAUUCUAAUAAAAAAUACAUAUCUUGUUGUUGACCUUCUAUUAUUUGUAUCUUCAAUUCAAUCUACAUCAUAAUAACUAUGUAAUGCAAUAUUAUCUCCUCCUAGAUACAAGUUAAAGUUCAAAUUAUCUUUGAAAUACUUUAUAAUCUUCUCGAUGGUUGCCUAAUGGAUUGGUCUAGCUUUUAACAUGUGUUGACUCACAAUACUCACUGCAUAUGUAAGAUCCAUCUUUGUACCAAUUAUUGUAUAUAUAAAUAAGCCUAUUAUUACCUUGUAUAGAACAUCUUUCAUUUCAUCUUCAUUUUCAAAAAAUUCCUUAUUUGUGAGCUUCGUCAACUUCAAAUUGGUCUCUAAAGAUAUUUUAAUGGGCUUGCACUCCUUUGUAUUGAAUUGUUUCAAUACCUCUUCAAUAUAAUUACUUUAACUUAUUAUAAUAAUUUUAUUAUCACAAUUUUUUACAAAUUCCAGUACUAAAUAAUAAUAGAACUAUCUCAAAAUAUUCAUUUCAUAUUUUUAUUUCUUCAACCAAUUCAUCUUCUUUAUGAUAUUAUUUAAUAUAAUUAAAUCAAUAAUAUAGAGAAUAACAAUCAAUAUGAACUCAUUUGAUUGCAUCACAAACAAGGAAUGAUUAGCUUCAUUCUUUACAAAUUCUUCAUUCACAAAGAAUAUGUCAAUUUGUUGGUACCAUACCCUUAAUAAUUAUUUUACUCAAUACAAGGAUUUCUUUAAUUUACAAAGAAGGUAUUAUUUGCCUUCUUCAAUAAUUCCUUAAAGUUGAAUCAUAUAGAUGUCUUCUUCCAACUUUCUAUUCAAGAAAGUUGUCUAUAUAUCCAUUUGAUGCAUUUCAAAGUCCAUUUCUAUCCCAAUUGCCACAAUAGUUCUAAUAGUAGUAAAUUUGGCUAUGGAAGCAAAUGUUUCAUUGAAAUUAAUAUCAACAACUUGUGAGUAGAUUUUGAUAAUUAAUCUUACCUUAUAUUUUAUAAUUUUAUCUAUUUCAUCUAUUUCGAUUCUAAACACCUACUUACUACCAAUUCAAGAUUGAUUUAAUAGAAGUUAAAUCAAUUUCCAUGUUCCAUUAUUUAUGAGUGAUUUAUACUCUUUUUUCAUAGCUUUCUCUUACUUCAUAGUAUCCAUGGAUUAUAUUGCAUGACAAAAAUUCAAUAGAGUAACAAAAAGUACAACAUUGACAUGUUCUUCACUUAUUUGAAGAAAGAUAUGAUUCUUCUAGUAUUCACCACAUGGUCUUUUUUCUCUCAAAGUAUAUUUUCUUUUAUUUGAAGAGAAUUCAACUUAUUGCAUCCAUAAUUUCAUCUAAUCUUUUUUUCCUUUAAAGCUUUUCUUUUUUCAUUUAAAAGUUAGUAGGUUUUAUCAUCAUCAUUAUAAUCUAUGAUAUCUUUAUUGCUAGUCCUAAAAAUUGUAGAUGCAUUCUUCUUCAUCUUUAUUGCUUCUUCACCUUCAUUCACACCUCCACCAUCUUUAUUAUUAUUAUCUUGUUUUACUUAAUUAACUAAAUUUAAAGAUAUAUCUAUAAACAUAAAAUUACUGUCUUGAAUACAUCUAGAAGUACUCACAAGCAUUCUUAUGUUCAAAAAAAUACUACAUCACGACUUUUGAUGAUCUUCUUGGUAUUCAAAUACAUUAAUCUAUAUGCCUUAGUACUUUCAUAAUAUCCAAAAAAUAGACAUUUUGUACCUUUUGCAUCAAGUUUAGACCUCAUAUAAUUUGGAUUCUUUGCAUAAGCAAUACAUUCCAAAGUCUUCAUGUAUAAAACACAACGUUUCUUCCUAUUUCAUACUUCUUUUAAAAUCAUUGAUAUUAGUGCACAUGUAGGGCACUUAUUUCUUGUAUAUACUGCAUUCACCUUAGUUUCUGCUCAAAAUUCAUGCCCAAGGUAUUGAAUAUGUAGCAUAAUCCUUGCUAUUUCAACAAUGGUUCAAUUUCUUCUUUUAGCAAUCCUAUUUUGUUGUAGCAUGUAAAAAGUAGAGGUUUGACUUGUAAUAUCUUAAAUUUUUGAGAAGUCAUCAAAUAUUUUUAAGUACCUAACACCUUGAUUUUGAACUCAUAUUAUUUUUUUACAAGUGCCUUAAACUCCUUAAACCUUAAGAAUCAUUCUUUCUUGGAUUUGAGGAUGAAAAUUCAUAUCUUCUAUAAAAAAUCAUUAAUGAAUGUGACAAAGUACUUUGCUCUUCUAAUUGAUGGUGUCUUCAUUGGUCCACAAAUAUUUGAAUGCACAAUCUCCAAAAACUUGCUUAUACGUAUUACAACUCUACUUAGAAGAGAGGCCCUUUGUUAUUUGCUUUGGAUAUAAUCUUCACAAGUGUUAUGGCAUUGUGACUAAAUUGACCAAGAUCCAAGCUACUUAUCAUGGAUUGGAGUUCUUUCAUGUUCUUUACAUUCAAAUAACCAAGGUUUUGAUGUCAAAUUCUAAAUUUGUCUUAAUUACAUAAAACUCAGUAAAUGCAGCAACUUUAAUUUUAUUCACUUUUUAAUAUUUGAUGAAGUAGGGAUUGCCAUUUCUAAAGUCCUUCGAAAUAUCAUCUCUAUCUAAUGUAUUUACAAAAUAUCCAUUCUUAUCAAAUUAUACCUUAUAACUAUGUGAAACUAGUUUAUAUACUAAAAAGAGGUUUUUCUUGAUCUUAAGUACAUGCAAGACAUCCUUCAAUUUGAUCUUUUUGAUUUAUUCUCUCACAACAAUUUUUAUAACAAUUGAGCAUAUUUCAAUGGCUAGUACCAUGCUAUUGUCUUCUAUAAAAAUAUUUAUUUCUAAAUUUUCUUUAUAAGUGUGAAAUGAAUAUUUGUAUAGAGUCAUGUACUUGGUGGCACUUGAAUCAAAAAUUGACAUGGAUAUGGUAGCUAUGGAAGUGCCUUCACUUGCCAUGAAUGCAAAAUAAUAUCCUCCAAAUUGCUCAUAUACAUUAUUGGUACUUUCAUAAUUUUUUUUUUUUUUUUUUUUUUACUUUAUAGCAAUUUUUUAUAAAGUGAUAUGGUUUUUUAUAAAUAAAGUAAAUUCUUAUACUACCAUAUUUAUUAAAGUAUCUUUUUGUAUCUUGUCUUGAAAGGAGAGUCAAAUCUUCACUUUAAAGUUCUUUUUCUUUCUUCUUGAUUAUUUCAUAGGCAAGUCUUGCCAUCAUAUAGUCUAUUGUAAGUACUUUCAAUUUAAUCAACUUCAAUGCCACAAUGAGAUAGUUAUUGGAUUCAAGAAGAGUCAUAAGCAAGAUCAUGACAAUAUCACUUUCUUCUAAAGACUUAUUAAUAAUUGUUAGUUAAUUUAUAAAAGCAUUUAUCUUAUUGAUAUAAGUCAUGAAGUCUUCACGUUCUUCCAUAUUGCAAGUAAAAAAUUUCUUAUUUGUAGAGAUAAUAUUGGAGAAUUUCUUAUUCUCAUAUAUAUUAUAAAAAAUCUUCCAUGCUUAUGCUGAUCUUUUAUAAGAGAUAAUGUGAAAAAAAUUGACUUCAUCCAAAUUGGUGGAAAUUAUGCCAAAAUCCUUCUUUUUACAUCUUUUGAAGUUCUUCCUUUCUUUAGUAUGUGCAUAUAUGCUUGGAAGAUCUUUACUUUCAUCUGCAAUAUUUCAAAGGUCCAAAGAUAUUGACAAAAGCUCCAUUUUGUCCUUCAAAUGGUAGAAAUUGUCUCCUCUAAAAUUUUCAAUCUCUCAAACCUUCAUCCUCGCUAAAAGUCAUAUAUAAAAAGAAUUCUAUCAAAAAAUAUCAAGAAAAGGAGUCUUUAUGUCUUCAAAAUUAUCAAUUUAAUUUAAUACUAGCAAAAUCUCAUAAUAUCCUUUUGUAAACAAUGGAGUGUUUUCUCACUCCAAACACUCUCAAAUCAAGUUUUGAAGCUUCUAACAAGUAUGUGCACUUCAAAGAACCUUACUAUCAAGAUCUCCUAUUCAUUCAAAUUAAUUAUUUUACAAUACAUACAAGGUAAGUGAAGCAUCUUCAACAACACAAAAAAUACUAUCAAGGUCUUUCUAUAAGGUCUUAAACUCAAAAUUCUAGCAAUUAAGAAUCCACCAAACAAUGUUAAUCUUAAUUGUUAAAAAUUUCUUAGAAUAAAAAACUACCAAAUAGAGUUUAUCACCUACUUUUAUUUGUGACAACACUAUAUCUAUAGCAAAUUAUGAUGUAUCUAUUUUUAUAAAAAAUACUUUCAAAAAGUCUACUCAAUAUAAAAUUAGUACAAAAAUAAAUGCUAUCUUCAAAGCUUUUAAAUAUGCUUCACUUUCUAAGUUCUAUUCAAAUUUGUCUUUACAUAUCAAAUGUGUAAGGAAAAUUGCAACUUAAGAAAAGUUCUUGAUAACAAUUUAAUAAUGAUUGAUAGAUCUCAAAAAUAUCAUACAUCUUUGAUUAUUUUUAGAAUCUUUUAAUCUAUGAUAUUUUAGACCUUCUUAGGAUUCAAUGUAAGGCCAUCAUUUAAAAUAAUGUAUCUUAAGAAGUUAAUUUGAGUAAUAUGAAAUACACACUUUUCUAUCUUAGUAUAUAAUCUUGUAUUAUUAAGAAUAUAAGAUUUUUAGAUCUAUAAAUAUUAUAAUUAUUUAAAAAAAUCUAUACAUCUAUUAUAUUAUCUCAUGUUUAAAGCAACAAGUCCUAGAAAAGAUUCUCAAUUUACUUUAUAAAUUGAUAAAAUUGAAGGUCUAUUAAUUGAUAUUAGCAAGAAAGUUUGAUCUAUAUUUAAGACAAAGAUGGUUGAUAGAUUCCUUCAAUGAAAUUUAUUGUUUCAUAUUAAGAUUAGAAAACCAUCUUAUUAUUUAAUUAUUAUUAAGGCCUUUGUAACUAACUUCAAACAACAUAUUUUUUAUUCUAUCAUAUAUAGUAUCUACCUCCAAUAGUAUCACUAAGCAUCAAGAGUCUUUUUUAAGAUUAUAGUAUCAAAUAUGUUAUAUCUUGCCAUUUAUUUAAAAAUGACAUGUCUCUCAUAAGAAUUUUUAUUUAAUUUCUAACAUAAUAUAAAUAAAGAUAAUUUAAAUUUUUUAUUAAAAAAUUCUAUUAAUAAAAUUUUUAAAAAUAAAUUUAUUGACUAUUUAUUCUCCAUGUUACAAAAAUAUUCUAUAUAUAAAAAUUUGAAUUUUUUUCUUCUUGAUUUAUAUUAUUAUAUUAUUAAUAUUUAAACAUUGAUCUUAGUAGAUAUUGCCAAUAAAGAAUAGCAAUAAAUUUUGGCACAUUUGUAAGAUUUUUGUAUGGCUUUUAUAUGCAUUCACUAACAUCAUAUUUGUACUAAGCUACAAGAUGUUUUUAUUUUGUUUUAGUACUAUCUUGAACCUAAGAGUUUCCCUACUUCAAACUUUUAGUUAUUAUUUAUUUUAAUAAGAAAUAAUAGUAUUUUUAUUUUUGCCGUGUAUUAAUUGCAAUACAAGACUCAAGAAAAAAAAUAUAGAAUAUAAGAUGGAUCUUUAUUGUUUGCUGUAAUUGUAAUCAAUAUAGAAGAAAUUAAUUUAUUUUUGGAUAAUAAAUGGAUCUAAUCUUUGAUAAUCAAGCUUCUUAUAAGAUUAAUUAGUCUUGAUAUUAUGACAAAGUAAUUAUAUCUUAUUACAAACUUUAAAUAUAAGAUGUUCUAUUUUAAAAUGAUGGCAUUAGCCUUUUGUCAUUUUUUAAAUUCUUUUGAUUAUAUCUAUAUAUUUUAUUAUAUAAAAUUCUUACUAAGAGCAAAAAAGUUGUCAAAUUGAUUUGAUAAUAGUUGAUAGAAUAUUAUAAAUAUUAUUCUAAUACUUUAUUUUUUUAUUUUUGUAUUUAAUCAAUUUAAAAAUAAAAAACAGAAGAUAAUUUGAUGUCUAUUGUUAAUAUGAUAAAAAGUACCUUCCAAAAUCUUGAUACAAAUAGAAGACCUUAAUUAGAUAAAAUUUUACUUUAAAAUCUAUAAUAUAAAUAGAUAUUAUAAAAAAAAAAAAAAACUUAGAUCAAUCUAUGAUAUAAAAAUUUAGCAUCUCAUUCCACUUCACCAUAAGUUGCGAUAUCCAAAUUACAAAUUGUAUGGUCCUCAACUUUGCUAGGAUAAUAUUUCAACAACACAUCAUUUGCAACAUCACAACAACAUUUUAAAUUCCGAAAUGAUUCUCUAAAAGUCAAUUUUUUGUUUAAUUAUAAAAUAGCUUCUUGACAUAAAUUUGAUUUUUUAAAAUUCUUUAUUAAUAAAUAAUAUUUAUUCAGUAUAAGAAGAAAAUCACAUAAUAAAAGUUUAAACUAUAAUCCAACAUUAUUGCAAGUCUUUAGAUUGUAAAAAACUUCACAUCGUGUUUGAUUUUCUUCUCAAAGUUUUUACAUUGGUUUCUAUUUAAUUAUUUUUUUUCUUCAGUAAAUCCUUAAAUAAUCUAUUGUAGAUUUCAAAUCCUUCCCAAGUAUCUCUACUAAUACCUUGCAUAUUUGAUAAUUUUUCAAUAUCUUUAACGUGUUUGUCAUAUUUUUCAAUAUUACUUGAAGAACUUGACAUAAAAAAACCAUGUAAAUAGUUUCAAACCAUGAGUACAUAUUGCUUGUUUAAUUCCAAAAGAUAUGCCGUAGUAAAAAAUAAUUAAUAUUCUAAUUAUAUUUUAUCACUAUAUAUAAAUAAUUAUACAUUAACUUUAUUUUUUAUUUCAAAAAUAGCCAAAAUAUAAUCAUUUUAUUUGCAUUAUUCUACAAAGCAUAUAAUUAUCUAUUCUACUCAUUAAAUCUAUUAUUAUGAUAUAAUCUUAAAUCUUCAAUAAUUUUAUAAUUAAUAUUUUUUUCUUUAUAUAUUUUAAUUAUGUAAUUUUAAAUAAUACCUUUAAUUUAAACCUUGCUAAUUUUAAAUCAUAUUUCUAAAGCUCAAUUAAAUGUUUUUCGAGGAAAAACACUUCAUAAACUUUGAUACACAACUAUAAUAAUCUUUUAAUAAGAUAUAAAUCUGCUUUAUAAACUUUUUAAUAAGAGUGUAAAAUUAUAAUAUAAUAUUCUUUAAAUGCAUCCAUCUUCUUUUAAAUAAAUAAAAUAACCAAUAAAAAUUUCAAAUAGCAUCCAAAAAAAUUAUAUCUUCUACACAAUCAAUCAAUGACAAAUUCUUAUUGCAAAUUUUAAUAAAGAUAGUUUUUAACUUUCUAUAUUUUUUUUAAUAAUAAAAUUUGAUAAAUGUUUUUACUAUAAGUGAGACUCAUUUAUCUAUUUAAUUCGAUUUUACCUACACUUCUAUAAACUUCUUUAAUCUUAAAUUUAUCCUUACAAAUUACAUGUAUUUAUUUUAUUAGUUUUAAUAAUAAUAUCCACAUUUGAUAGACCUAGUUGUAUUUAUCAAAAUAACUUAUUAUUUGACACAUUAUUUUCAUCACUUCUAACUUAUUAUGAAUUUUAAAAAAAUAAAAAAAUAAAGGUAACAAAAAAAUAUUAAUAUAUAUAUAUAUAUAUAUACAUAUAUAAUAUAUAAAUAUUUUUAUCAAUUUAAAAUUCUUUCUAUAUCUUUGAUUAUAUUAGUUCUUCCAUAUAAUAAUACUAUUUAUAAUAUCUCAUCUCUAAAAACAUAAUAUUCCAUCUCUAAAAAAAAAAAAAUUCAAUAUAAAAAAAAUUACUUUUAAAAAUCAAUUAAACAGUGUAAAAAUUAUUGAUGUGUAUCUUACAAACAAUCUUGUAAUCUUAUUUAUAAUACAUUCUUGGAAAUUUAUUCAAAAUCUCUACUUUUAUAUUAAAAUUAACAUAAUGCAUUAAUUUUAUUUGAUAUUUUAUCAACAUAUUUAAGUUUAUACUUUGUUGAAUGUAUCAUAAUUAAAGAAAUAAUAUAUAGAAGUAUAUGAAAUAUAAAAAUUUAAUAUUUUAAAGUUUUGAAUAAAUUUUUUUAUUCAAAUAAAUUAUAUUCUAUUCUUUUAAGCUACUUUCAAAAUGCUACAUAAAACUUUAUUUUAUCCUAUUUUUUUCUUAUUUUAAUUAUAAAAUAUAUUUCUUUAUUCUAAAUUUUAUAAUAUAUAUAUAACCUCAAAUACUUUUUGAAACUUUUAAUAAUAUAUAAUGAGCCAAAAUCAAACAACUAAGAUUUCAAAAAACUAUUCUUGUAUUUGCUUUUAUGCUGCAAUCCACCUAAUCCACCACCACCAUCACCAAAUGUUUCUCUAUUUCAACUAGUUCUUGAUAAUUACUUUUUUUUGAAAAAAAAUAAAAAUAAAAAAUAAGUGAAAAAAAAUCUUUAUUAACUAUUCCAAAAAAAACAUUACUUAAAAUAACAAGAAUAAUAUAUAUAAUUAGAUUUAAUAACUAUUUAACAACUUCACAUAAUAUGUACCUCUGUAACUUAAGCCAAGGUGUAGAUCCUUAUUAACAAAUAUAUGCAGACCAAGCUACUACUAACUCAAACCUUCCAUAAAAUCUUAUUAUAAUUUUAAAUAAUAUGUCAAUUUGGCUAUGAAGAUAUUAUUUUUAAAUACAUGCACACAUUAUAAUCUAUACAAUCUAUCUAAUCUACAACCACCCUCACCAAACUACUUUUUAAUUCAACUAGGUCUUGACAACUACUUAGUUUUUAAAAGAAGUAUGCAAGACAAAAGAAUCUUUAUUAUAUAUUUUAGCCAUGGCACUACUUACAUAAAAGAAAGCAAUGUAAAAGCAUGUUAACAUGUGUAAAGAAAUAAGGUACAAAACUUUUUGAAAUCUCAAGAUAAAACAAAAAGAAAUAGGUGAGGCAAAAUGAGCCUUUUUUUCAUUAGGUCUAGACAUGCUUGGGAUAGAAAUGCAAAUAAAUAGUAGUCAUUGUCUAUGAAAUAAAUAAAAGUUUUUCAAAAAUAUCCUUUGUACUAAUAUAAUAACGUUUGGCUUUGGAAGAUAGCUAUGGCCAUGCCAAAACUCCUUUAUUUAUUUUUUUCAUAAAACCACCAAACAUUGUUAGCUCUAGAAAUAGCCACGUAUAUCAUUUUUAUAAAAAACCUCAAAAUUAUAUUAGAUCAAUAUAAUCUUAUCUAAAAAUGAAAGUAACUUCAAUUAAUAGGAAAAUUAAUAUUAAUUAUAUUUUUGAUAUUACAUCUCUAAAAUUUAAACUUGAUUUUGGAUAAUUGAAUACUAUAGAUAUGUAGUCUCACUUUGAUGUAGUAUUUUUAGGAUAUUUUUUCAUUAAAAUAAUGGCAAAUAUAGUAUAUUUUGAAGCUCAAAGUUAAGAAUUGAUCAAUCAACUAGUCCAUGAAGAGUUUGAAUUGUAAUCCAUCACAAUAACAAUGUAUAAGUAAAAAAAGGCAAUCACAAGAAAUUUACAAAUUGAAAGGUUUUAAAACUAAGAGGAUAGAUUUAAUAUAAUUACAAAUUUUGAAAUCAAUUAUAAGAGGUAUUAUAAAUCAAAAUUAUAAAUUUAUUUGAUGUAUGAUUUUAAGUAUAAUUUAAAUAUAAUAUUUUUUAAAUAAUUAAAUAAUAUUUUAAGUCUUUAUUUUAUUUCUUUAUUAUUAAUUUAAUUUAUAAUAUAAUGUUUUAUAUUAUUUUUGAUAAUAUUUAAUAAUAAAAUAAUAUUAAGUUUAAAAAUAUUAUUUUUAUUUUUAUUUAAUCUAUUAUUUAAAAGAAUAAUUUAUUAAAAUUAUUUAUAAAAUUAAUAUUAUAUUAAAAAUAUUUAUAUAGAUUAAAUUUGUAAUUAAUGUAUGUUAUGGUAUUAUCUACUAAAAUAAAAUUUCUAUUAUAUAUUUAUUGUCCUCUUUUUAUAAGCAUAUUAUUGUAGAUUUCAAUUCUUUUAUAAUUUUAUUUUAUUCUUUUAACUUUAUAAAAAUCUACAUUCAUUAUUAACAAAAUGAAUUACAAAGAAGAAAAACGUCAAUACAAACUUGUAUCAUUCAAAAAAAGUAGAUAUUCACUCUAAGGUAGUAUAAUAUUAAAACUAGAAUGACUAUUUCAAAAGAUAAGUAGACUAGAAAUUCUUAAAACAAGACUAAAAAUAAGAAAGAAAUUCAUAUAAGUGAAGAAGGUUUUUUUCUUGCUUUUAUAUAUAUUAUCUAAUUAAGAGUUAUGUGGUGAUAUUUUAUUAGACUUCCAAUACAUGUCCAACUUAUCAAACAUGUGUCUAAUUUGCACGACAAGUUUUCUACAUGUAUGCCAUGUAGCCAACUUGUAUCAUUAAUUGCCAACAUAUGUAAUAUAUAGCCAAUAUAUCAUGCCCAAAGCUUCCCGUUGAGUAAUAGUGUAAUAUCGUUUGGCAGCCACUAAUUAUCGACUGACAUAAUAUAUUAGAUGAUCCAAGCACUUUUCAUUCUUCUGACUUAACAUUGAUCCAAUAGUAAUAUUAGAUGCAUCAAAAUACACAUGAAAUGGCUUUGUCUAACAAGGGGCUAUUAAUAUUGGUAUAGAUACCAAUUUUUCCUUCAAUUCUUCAAAUGCCACUUUACACUCCUUGAUCCAAACUAGAUUGGUUCCAUCCGAGAGAGGUUUCUUUAAAAGAUUAGUCAGAAAUUGACAAACGACUGCAAACAAAUGAAUUAAUUGUCAAUAAUAACUAACAUAGCCACUAAAACCACAAACACCCAAUACUGUCUCUGGUCUUAGCAAGUUCAUUAUGUCUUGAACUUUAUAUAGAUCAGUGGCAAUACUGCUUUUGGAGACUAUGUGCCCCAAGAAUUUUCCAGACAGAACACCAAAUUCACAUUUAUCAGAAUUCAAUGAUAUUCCGCAUAUAGCACAUUGAUCCAAACAUUUGCCUAGGUAUUUUAGAUGAUCUUAUUUUGUACUGAAAGUACAAAAGUCAUCUAAAAAUAUCUCCAUAAAUAUUUGUAAGUAAUCUUAAAAUGCCUAAGUCAUCACCCUCUGAAACAUGGCUAUAGCAUUACAUAAUCCAAACGGCAUAACACGAUAGGUAAAUAUUCUCCAGUCUAUAGUAAAAGUAGUCUUUAGCUAAUCUUCUUUUACAAUUUUAACUUGAUUAUAACCAAAAAAUCCAUCUAAGAAAGAAUAACAUUCAUAUCCUGCUAUGACAUCUAAUAUACUAUUUGUAAAAGGUAAUGGAAAGUAAUCUUUUUUGAUAGCCACAUUUAGUUUCCGGAAUUCCUAAAAAAAUCUAAUUUUUUCUUUUUUCUUUGGCACUAUCAUGAUUUGAGAAACCCACUCGCUGUUCAAUACCAAAUAAAUAAAACCAACCUCAAUAAGCUUGUCUAUUUCUUCUUUUACUAUUAGGAAAUAUUUUGGAUUAAGUUGGAGUUGCAUCUAAUGGACAGUUUUAGCAUCCUCCUUCAAAAUAAUCUGAUGCUCAUAGACUUCUGUGGAGAUACCUUUCAAAUCAGCAUAAGUCUAAGCAAAAGCAGAUUUAUGGUGAAUGAAAAAUUCUUUCCAACAUGUCAAGUCUUGAUCUUGAAUAUCUUUAUAAAUUUUAAUUGUUCAAGAUAUUUCAUUUAUUGCCAAGUUAAUAAUUUGACAUAAAGAUUCAAUUGUCUUUUCAUCUUUUAGCUCUCUUAUCGAUUUUGAUCAAUUUGCCAAGUUCGACAUAUUUGAGGCACUCAAUUUUGAUUCCAAUGCAUUGACCUGGUGCAUAUCAUAUUUGUUCAUCCAAUUUGCAAUAGCAUGAUCAAAAUUUUCCAUAUCUAACAGGUAUAUCAAAUAUUCUCUCAGUCUUCUAUAUUGAUAUACCACCUCAUGGUAUUGAAUUGUUUUGAAGGAUGCUCCUUCUUUUGGUACAAUAGCAUCUUCAUCAGAAUUGAGCUCAUCGUCAAAUGUCAAUUCAGAUGCUGGCAUUUGAGAUUCUUCAUGAUAGUGUAUUGGAUACAUUUAUAACACCAUCUUGUUUUUGCCUCUCUUGAUUGUCAAAGUACCAUGAUUCCAAUCAUUCUUGGCUUUUGCUUAAUAAAGCCACGAUCAUCCUAAUAAAAUCAGAUAUGAUAAAAUUGAACGUUGUAACUAUAAAACGAUAUAGUCUAUUUUGUAUUCAAUACCUAUAAUUAUGAUUUGAAUAUUAUGCAAGAUAUCCAUUGGUUUGAUUUGGCUAUGAUCUACCAUCCGUAAUACCAAUGUUGUGGAUACUAAAUAUGCUAAGUCUAAAACAUCUAUUGUAUUUGCGUUCAUUAAAUUGACGUUGGAGCUACCAUCUACUUAGAUUCUAAAAAUCAUAAUGCCAUCUAUCAAUACGUCAAUGAUUGGUGCGCCGAAGUCAUGAUUCAAACUGACCUCAUGUACUUCUUUAUUGCAUUCCCUAUACCAUGUUAACAAUGAAUUCAAUAUAGAACGAUACUAUGAUGCUAUUGCUAGAAGUUGCUUUAUUAAAAUAGAAGAUUGAAUAACAUCCAGAUCUUUCAGAAUGUCAUAAGACUCUAUAUUUAAAGCAAUUCUCAAUGUCCUCUUUCUUUUCAUUUGUUUCAGCUUUAUCCCUUGAGGUAAUAUAUUUUUCAUUUGUAGACUUGGAAUUGGAACAGUUGGAGGAGCUUUCUCGGAAUGGCCAUUCAUAAGAAGAUCUUUUAAUAAAUAAGAUGUCUCAUGGAACUGCACAAAGGAUAAAAUUAUUUUUGGCUGAGCCAAGAUCUCACUGGUUGGAACCUCAUUGAUUUGCAUAGAUGGACCAAGUCUCAUCAUCGGUAAGAUGCCCAUUACAAGAACUAGAUUUGACAUUCCCAUAAUUGGUUUGAAUUAGUCCUUCGCAACUAAUUCACCCAAGUAUUGAAUUGGUCAUUUUCUCUUUUGUUGGCUCUUGAUGAGUACGGCUUUGAAACAUUCCACUUGAUUUAUCAAAGAAUCUUAGGAACCUUGAUUAUUAUCUUCAAUCUUACUUUAUAGGUAGAUCUGCUAAUCACGGUUGUUGAAAUUGAAUAAAGCAUUAUAUUAUUGAUAUGUUUACUUUAACUGCUUACAAUUUCUACAAACUGGAGCAUAGUCAUCACUAGCUCUUGAAUUAGGACAUUCACUAGCAUAAUGACUAAUCUACCUACAAUGAUGAAGUGGUCUUCUUCCACCUCCAUCAAGCAUAUUGGAUGUCUCUAUUGGUAUAUAUUGGUAGACUUAUUUCAAGUUGAAUUGAUAAAUGAUUUUGAUUGUCUUGUUGGUACGAAGAGAACUGGAAUCAAUUGUCAUAAUAGAAAAUAUUAUUAAAAUAUUGGUUGUUCCUUUAUAUAGUUAUAGGAGUUCGAUGUAAAAUUCGAAUUAUAAUUUGGACCUUGAACAUUAUUAAAGGCUCAAUUUUGCCUAUUUGAAUGAUUCCUGUUCCAACCAAAUGUAUUUUCCAUUUGAACUUGAUUGACAUCCUAUUGAGUAGAUGGAAUCAUGGUUUGAUUAUCAAACUGUUGUUGUUUUUUUCAAUUCCAACAAUUAGCUACCAAAUGCUUUCCUCCACAGAAUAUACAUUACACCAUCAUUUGUAGAGGAAUGGGACAUUCUAUCACCAAAUGAACUUGACCUUUAUAAUUACUACACCAUAUAUUGGCUCUAGUAUUAGUAGAUUUUUACCUCUUUUCUUUAUCCUUUGUCAUAUUGACUACCAUUUCCUCUAUUUUCUUAAUCAAAUUUAACAACAAGGUUUCAUUAGAAUCCUUUGGAGCUGAUACUAUUGGCAAUUCUGUCAUAGUCAACAGUUGCUACUAAUAAGAGAAGUAUGGGAACUCUGAUGUUGUCAUAUUUGAUGGUAUAACUUGCAAUGGGGUGAUAUUAACUGUUCUCUGUGUAUUGAUACUUGAAUUAGUUUCUGUAUCAAAUAUUCUCAAAUAACUAACCACUACUCCAUUCCAUACCGAGAUUUGAUAACUUCUUUGAAUUGGAAUCAUAGUGGCUCCCGUAGUUAAAAAUUGGUCAUAAUGGCAUUCCUCCCAAACCUUGGCUUGAUUAAAAGAUACAAUUACCAUAUUUGUUUGAGCUUCUUUUACAAAUAUUUUUAGUUUGAGUGGGUGCAAUCCAUUGAUUAAUAUGGAAAAUACAAAAGCCUUUGGCAUUUGGUGAUUUAGCCACUUGCGGAGUAUAUCUGCCACAUGACCAUAGUAAGAUUCUAUUACCUCUUCUCGACUCAUUUUGUUAUUCAUUAAUCUUUCUUGAAGUCAAUUUCCAAAACCAAUUAGGCAAAAUUGGGUUAAAAAUGUAUUCUUCAAUGCUUUCCAAUUAGAAAAUUGACCCACCAGUUGGCAGUUAUAUCAUUCAAAUGUCGUGUCUUUUAAGGUCACUAGCAGCCAUUGCAACCAAAUAUCUUCAAUUCUCCUAUUAUUGGCUACACAUACGAUAUAGAACUAAGAUAAGUGUUGAUCUAGAUUUGCACCUAGUAAGCCCCUAAAAGUAGAUAAUAGAACCACGCUAGUUGUACGAUUGCCCACAUCACCUAUUUGAACUGCUAUUGGAAUUAUCGGAUUACUCGUCGUCAUUGAAGAAGACAAUGUGCCACUUAAUCUCUUAUUAAAAUAACCAUUGUCUUCUCCAAAUAUCUUUAUUGAACUUUUUAACCUUUUUAAUUUGCUAUUAUUAUUCCUAAAUAAUUUUAUUGGUUGAAUUAAAGGUAAAAUCGACAAAUUUUAAAACAUGCUGAAUUGGCCUUUAUUAGCAAGCAAUUUAUGCCAUUCUAUUGCACCAGUUUUGAUAAAAUCAUCAAUUUUCGCUAUUGAGAAGGUAUCCAAUGGAAUAUCCAAUGGAGUAUCCAAUGGAGUAUCCAAUUCUUCUAUGUUUCUUCCACUUGUAGUUAACCAGCUCAAGAAAUAUGCUUGAUUAUUAACAAAAUUUUCCACAAGUGUUCUUGGAAAUUUUCUUAAUGAUAUAUAUGUCUAAAAUAUUAGAGGUCGGUCAGCUUCUAGGUAUGCUCGGAUAUGUUGACAAGCAUGCAACGAUGGCUUAAUCCAACUUUGUCAACACUUCUUUUUUAACUUGCAUUCUUGCUUGUUUUGCAACAAUUUUUUUGCUUGCACUUUCUCUUGUCUUUCUUUUGACUAACGUAUUUUUUUUAUUACAACAUUCUCAUUCUUAAUAACCAUAAUCUUUCAUUAUAUAAUGCUAAAUUUGCUUCCUAUUUGCCAUCUAAUUAUACAUUUUUCUUCACUUUCAAAUCAAUUUUGAUUUUAUAACUUCUUUGCCCAACAUCCAAAACUACUCAUUUGGUAGUUAAUAUCUAAGAAUCAAUACUAUUGUAAUUCUCUGACAAUGGCACCAAAAUGUGAUUGUCAUUUUAUUUAUUCUACAAAUUUCUUUUAGAAUAAACCUAUAGAAGAGGAUUCAAAUGCACAAAAAGACUAACUGCAUGAGCUUACAUGUUAGGAUCACACAAUUAACCAUAUUCCAAACCACUAAAAAUACCAAAGAAUACUACAAUACUUUCUUCCACUAACAAUAGUUCUUCAUCAAUUGAUAACAACAAUGAUGUGCAACUCUAUAUUCUCAAAAGACCACUCAAAAUAUAUAAAUUCCAUCCAAUAUCAGAAAUAAAAAUCUUCUAUUCCAACCAAUCUAGCUUUACAUAAUUUUUAUAUUUUUAGACUUCUUUUGUUAAAACACACACAACUCUCAAUAGACAACAAUCAUAAUCUUUCAUCCAUUAACAAUCUCCUAGAGAAUCUCAUAACAAACUCCCAAUACCUUCUCAUAAUAAUUCAAUCACAUAGUACUUCAAUUACAUAUUCAAUAUCUUAUAAAUCAAUCUUUGAUUUAUUCCACAGAUUCACUUCACAGUGAUCAAAACCUAAAAUAAUAAUAUAAAUAAGAAAUAAGAGAUAGCACCAAGCUUAUCCCAGCUCAUGACUAUCACAGUCUGGUCCCUCCAAUAUCUUCUACAAUUACUAUAUACUUAUCCCUAAAAUUUCAGAUUCUAACUGUCAUUCCUUACUUAACCAUUUUUCACAACUAGUUCAUUCAUCAGUCCUAUUGAAUUGACUAUCCUAGGAAUGAUUAAUCUACUUUACCAAUAUCUUACGAAAAUAAAUUUCUAUCCAUUUUACACCAACCUUCUAUUUGUUACAUCAAUUCAAGUCCACAAGCUAGCACCUCAAUAGCUUUGAUCUUUUUGCAUUUCAACAAUAGUUUUUGAUGUUGCAUAUUGCCUCAAGCUUUUGUCACAUAUUCAAUUCCAUCUGGUCUCAUAUAUUUUGUAGCUCAAGGAAUUUCAUACUGAACUAAGGUAUUUUUUGGACUGACACCAACCAUCACCAUUACUACCAAUUGAAAUUGAUAAUCAAUAAGAAUAUGAAAUAGAAAGUAUUUUUGAGCAUCACAACCUUUGCUAUGGCAAUAGACGUCUGCAACUUCAGUACAAAGUUCUUUGAAAAGGUUAUUCCAUCUACAAUGUAAUAUAGGAACCCACACAAAACCUUACUUAUUAUUAGAAAACCAUUUAGAAAUACCAUUAGGAACAAAAUGAGGACGUUUUAUAUUAGUGGAGGGAGAUUAGCUAUAACAAGGCAUGGAUAGGAUAUUUGUAUUAUUUAUACAUAGAGAUAUGUAGUUGGAGUUGUUUUUGGAAAAUUUCUAGAAUUGAGGUUAGAAUGGUGGUUCAUGCAAGAUCCACCAUAGAAGCUUUUAGAAAGACUUAGGGCGGUUAUUAUGGUAGGUCCUAUUUCUAAAAUCUUCUAGAAUGGUAGUUAUCUUAGUAGAGUCUACCAUUUAAAGAAAUUUUAGAAAAUUCUAAAAUAGUUGGAUAAAGUAUACAUAGGACUAGUUGAGGUUAUUUAGGCAUUUGAUUAGGUAUGGCUUUAGACUCUUUUUUUCAAUAAAAUUUGAUUUUUUUAUUCUAUUCUAUUUGAUUCUAUUCACUUUUAUUCAAUCAUGUCUUUUAUAUUGUAUUCCAUUUAAUUACUUUUAGUUUUGUUCUAGUGUGUUUAGUCUUAUAUUAUAUCAAAAUCAUUAUUGUUAUGGAUUUGGUAAGAUUUUAGACCUUAAAAAAUUUGAUCUUAUUUUAAUUAAGCUUUAAUUAUAAUUUAUAUAUGAUUUUAUUAGAAUUUUAAGGACUUAUUGUUGCAAUUUUUUUUUUACCUUCUACAACUAAAUGCUUGGUGCAUUUUCAAAUAAUAUUUCAUAUAAUAUUUGAGUAUAUAAAAAUAGUAUAUAUAGAGAUAAGAGUACAAUCUUCUUUACUCUUGUUAAGGCCAUUUUAGUCCUUAGUCUUGUUUCAUGAUUUUUUAGUCUUCUUGUCUUUGACAAUAGCCAUUUUAGUUCAACAUAUUAUCAUCUUUGAGUGAUUUUUUAGUUUUUUUGAUUGACAUAAGAGUGCAUUGAGAUUUUCUUUCUUUGAGAUUCAUAUUCUUGAUAGUUUGACAAAAAUGUUAACUCAUUGUCUUUAAUUUGUAUUAGAAGUGAGUAAAUUAUUAUAUUUCUAUUAUUAUAUUUUGAAUAUUACAAACCACCUAUCUUUAAAUUCACUUUUAAUUUUCCAUUAAUUAUUUUUCUUAAAGAGAGGACUACGUCUCUUUGUAGAAAUUUUUAUUUGAUAUUAGAGGUUGCAAAUUAUCUUCUUUUAAUUUGACUUUUAGAUUUGUUUGAAUUAUCUAUAAAAGAAAAAAUUAUAGAUUCUAUUUUUAAUAAACUAAAAAUAGAUUUAUAACUAUUAUACAUCUUUAUAUACUUAUUAAUAUUUUAAAGGUAGAAAUUUUAUGUAUCUCUAAUAUCAAUCAUAGAUAUAGUAUUUUGUCACUUAUAGAAGAGAUUAAGAACAAAGUUCUAAGUUUAUGCCAAAAAAUUAUACAAUUAAAAGAAAUCAAUCUGAUAACUAAAUUCAAGAAGACUUACUACUCUAAGUAUGAGAGAGACAAGGAUAAAUAUGUCAAAGAAGUUCAAUAGAUCAAGAUCAAAAUUUUGAAGAUUUUUACAAUAAAUAAAGUUUUAUAUAAGGUUGCAUCCUUUUCAAUAUCCUUAUAGAUUCACUUAAGUUAGAUUUAUAGGUGCUUUUUUUUUUGAAAUUGCCUUUUCUUAGUUUGCACCUUUGAUGGAAAAAGAUUUAUGUCUUUUCUAUGAUCUCAAUUCAUUCUUAGAAGUAAUUAUGGCCACUUUUAGAAAAAAUAAUCAAAAAAUGGUAAUAGAAAUCAAACUUAUAUUUUUAUGAUAAAGAACAUGUUUAGAUAUUAUAUAUGCUGUCAAAUAACAAAAUCUUGCUUAUAAUAUAGAUUGAAAUGAUAAAGUCCUUCUCAAUCAAUUUCAAUAUGGAUUAAAAGAUAACAUCAAAGAUUUAUUAUUGAUAAUGCCAAGAACAAAUUCAUUAGAGAAAUUUAUUGCUUAAGCCAUUACAUGCAAUAAUUGACUUUUUGAAAGAUGCCAAUAACAAAGAUUUGAUUUAAUAGGUACAAAACAAGCUAUAGCAAUAACUUAUAAAAAACUUAUUCAUUAGGAUUGAAAUCAAUUCAAAUUGAUAUGAUAUGUUUCAAGCCUCUUAUUGAAUAAGAAAAAAAUCAAUGCCAUCAUGAAGGUUUAUGCUUCUAUUAUAAAGAAUCUAAGUAUAUUGUUUAAUAUUGUUCAAAGAAGUAAUGCAACCAUAAAAUGAGAAGCAUAGUUACUGAAGAGGAUGAUGUAUUAGAAAACAAGUUUUUCCAAUUACAAUAAGAAUUGUGCAAUUAGAAUCAUGCGUAAUAUGUAGUAAAGAUCCUAUUAUCUCCUCAAAUCUUUCAUCUUAUUUUAUAAUAGAAGUUUUUUUAGAGCCAAAAAAUCUCAAAGUCUUUACCUUGGUAGAUUCAAAAGCUUCAACUUAUUUUAUAAAUGAAGCCUUUGUAAAAAAAUAAAAAGUAUCUCUAGCCAAGAAAAAUAAAUCCAUAGAUAUAGAAGUCAUAGAUGGUCAUUUAUUGUCAUCUAAAGAUAUUAUCCAUAAAAAAAAUAAAAAAUAGAUGUAGCAAUUAAAGAUCAUAAUAGCUUAGUAAUAUUCAAUAUUUUUAGAUUCAUAUCUAAUCUAAUUAUUUAAAGAUUAUUGUGGCUAAAGAGGUAUAACCUUCAAUUAAAUUAAACUUCUUUUAAUUUUGAUUUUUUCCAUAGUUUAGUCCAAGAUCAUGCUAGUUGAAUAAAAAUCCUUAAGACUUAUACAAAAAAAUCUUUAUUAUUAGAUGCAAGUACUUUUAUAUAUGUAACAAAAAAAUAGUCAACUUUUGAUAUAUAUGCCAUACUUAUUUUUGAUAGAGAAAAGACUUAAAAUGAUAUUCCAAGCUAAUAUUAAAAUUAUUAAGAUAUUUUUGAGAAAAAGAAUGUAUAUAUUCUUCUAGAGCAUUGUUCUUUUUACUAUUCCAUUGAUCUUCAAGAUGAAACUUAAUUACUAUUUAAACCAAUUUGUAGUUUAUUGCAAAAUGAGUUGAUUGCACUCAAGGAGUAUAUUGACAAGAACUUAGCUAAAAACGUCAUACUUUAUUUUAAAUCUCCAACAUGAGCUCUCAUAUUAUUUGUGAAGAAAAAAACUAAAUCUUUGCAAAUGUAUGUAGACUAUUAAAGAUUCAAGAAGGUCACCAUUAUGAAUAGAUAUCUUCUACCUUUGAUUUCAAGAUUUUUUGAUCAAUUCAAUUAAACAAAGAUCUAUACAAAAAUAAAUCUACAAGGAGCAUAUAAUCUUGUAUGCAUCGAAAAAAAUAAAUGGGAGAUUAUAUUUUAAACUAAAUAUGGAUAUUUUAAAUAUAAUGUCAUGUCUUUUGAACUCAUGAAUGCACCAUGUAUAUUUUAGCAUCUCAUGAAUGAUGUCUUUUUUGAGUUUUUUAAUGAUUUUAUAAUCUAUUCUUUAAAUAAUAUUUUAAUUUAUUCUAAGAAUAUAGAAGAACAUGAACUUCAUGUUUGUUGCAUGCUAGUUUUUUAAAAAUACAAAAAUAGACAUCAAAUUAUCUUUAUUUAUUUAUUUUUAAAUUUAUUAAAUAAAAAAAUAAAAAAAUAAAGUAUUAGAAUAAUAUUUGUAAUAUUCUAUCAACAAUUAUCAAAUAAAUUUGACGACUUUUUUACUCUUAGCAAGAAUUUUAUAUAAUAAAAUAUAUAGGUAUAAUCAAAAGAAUUUAAAAAAUGACAAAAGGCUAAUGCCAUUAUUUUAAAAUAGAACAUCUUAUAUUUAAAGUUUGUAAUAAGAUAUAAUUACUUUGUCAUAAUAUCAAGACUAAUUAAUCUUAUAAGAAGCUUGAUUAUCAAAGAUUAGAUCCAUUUAUUAUCCAAAAAUAAAUUAAUUUCUUCUAUAUUGAUUACAAUUACAGCAAACAAUAAAGAUCCAUCUUAUAUUCUAUAUUUUUUUUCUUGAGUCUUGUAUUGCAAUUAAUACACGGAAAAAAUAAAAAUACUAUUAUUUCUUAUUAAAAUAAAUAAUAACUAAUAGUUUGAAGUAGGAGAACUCUUAGGUUCAAGAUAGUGCCAAAACAAAAUAAAAACAUCUUGUAGCUUAGUACAAAUAUGAUGUUAGUGAAUGCAUAUAAAAGCCAUAAAAAAAUCUUACAAAUGUGCCAAAAUUUAUUGCUAUUCUUUAUUGGCAACAUCUACUAAGAUCGUUGUUUAAAUAUUAAUAAUAUAAUAAUAUAAAUCAAGAAGAAAAAAAUUCAAAUUUUUACAUAUAGAAUAUUUUUGUAACAUGGAGAAUAAAUAGUCAAUAAAUUUAUUUUUAAAACUUUUAUUAAUAGAAUUUUUUAAUAAAAAAUUUAAAUUAUCUUUAUUUAGAUUACGUUAGAAAUUAAAUAAAAAUUCUUAUGAGAGACAUGUCAUUUUUUAAAUAAAUGGCAAGAUAUAACAUAUUUGAUACUAUAAUCUUAAAAAAUACUCUUGAUGCUUAGUGAUACUAUUGGAGGUAGAUACUAUAUAUGAUAGAAUAAAAAAUAUGUUAUUUGAAGUUAGUUACAAAGGCCUUAAUAAUAAUUAAAUAAUAAGAUGGUUUUCUAAUCUUAAUAUGAAACAAUAAAGUUCAUUGAAGGAAUCUAUCAACCACCUUUGUCUUAAAUAUAGAUCAAACUUUCUUGCUAAUAUCAAUUAAUAGACCUUCAAUUUUAUCAAUUUAUAAAAUAAAUUGAGAAUCUUUUCUAGGACUUGUUGCUUUGAACAUGAGAUAAUAUAAUGGACGUCUAGAUUUUUUUAAAUAAUUAUAAUAUAUAUAGAAGUAAAUAAAAAAAGAUAGAAAUAUGUUAGAAAGAUAAUAUGUGCCUUCAAAAGAUUCAAAUAUUUAAACUUUUAUAGCUAUGCCAUGUAGCUAUUUAAUUUUAUUUUAAAAAUUUUAAAUCUUGUUUUAUAAUUAUGUCUUCUUUUCUUACUUUCUCUAUUAUUUAACAACACAUACAUUUAAUGUCUUUUGGAUUGUAUUUCUCUAUUAUUUAACAACACAUACAUUUAAUGUCUUUUGGAUUGUAUUUCUCUAUUAUUUAACAACACAUACAUUUAAUGUCUUUUGGAUUGUAUCAAGCAUCAUGUCUAUAACAACUUGUGGUUUUACCCGUUUCCUUUUCUACUUGACUUUUGAUUGUUUCUAUUCCUCUUUGUAGCUAUUUGUUGAAAUUAAGUUUUACAAGCUUUGCAAGUUAGACCAUUGCAUCUCAACAUUGGAUCAUAUUGCACUUCAUCGACUAAAUCUAUAUAUGUCAUUCCAAAUUAAUCUGAGGGCUUGAUUUGCAUUACAACUACUUUAUCUCUUCUAAAAUAAAAUCCACCCGUGUAUUUCUAUCCGACUCAAAUACAGCUCCAAUGGGUGCUCAUGAUGUCAAUAUUAUAUCAGACUUCGGUACUGAUUGGUUUGAUUCCCAAGUCCACCAAAUCCCAUUCAGCUAUAACCACACCCAUGUGUCUCACAUUGAGUAACACCAUUGCUCGCAAGGUCAAUUUCUUACCCCUUCUUAUUACCAUCGCUGUUCAGACACAACCCCUCCUUCUCAAUCUGCUGAGACCCCAGGCACACCGCUGGUAUGACGUCACGACAACACUAAAGCAAGAUUCAGUAGAUGUCAGGGCCAAUCAACAGUGUUGCCAAAUUCCAAUCGGUCCGCUCGCCAUGCGCACACCCUACCACGUAAUUUGUGCAGUUAAUAGACCUCAAAUCUCAUUACCCUGCCGCUGGUCUGGGUCGAAGGUCCUGCACGGACGCUGCAUGUCGAGGUAACAGCUCUGUGCUCAGCCCUGUGCCGAUCAGAUGCAGCCAGUCUUUUAGAAGACCACCUUUUAGUAAGUACCGUGUCGAUGUUUCAUGGCCGAGAGGCUUGUGCAUAGCGCCGGUCGUCCAAGUCCAACGACGAACAGACCGACAGACAGAGCGCGAGAAAAGAAACAACCCGGUUGUAUAACAUCAAUGUCACACAAGGAGGAAGGACAGAUAUCUGCACAUUCGUGAAUCGUUCCUCCAUCCACACCCUCGGUUUUCGUGGGCACUCCCUCACAUUUGUACCCGACCACACAAAAACCCAUUGCAUGUACCGAACGGUGGAAACUCGGUCGUCGGACACAGGCUCAACCAAUCCACGAUUUUAUUGCAAAAUGGGAACCGUACAUUACAGAACUCUGGUGUCCACAACGGUUUGCACACAGCGGAGAGACUCUUCAUGAUGUGAUGUUCAAAACAAUAUCGAACCAAAAUUCAGAGCUCUGGGUUCUGAGUUUGGGUGACGCAUCUCCAACCGAACCGGACCGGAAACAGGGCAGGCGGUACAUGGUGCACGUCUUCGCACACAAUGCCCGAUCGAAGUUUAUCCAAGCGCUGAACGAGAUAUCUGCAAAGCCUCCCACUAGAACAAGAAGUCUGUCGUCAAGUCUGCCCGUGUUAUAGACUCAACCGCAACUUUCGACACGGACGUACACGAGCUCUGCCUCUGGAUGCCACCCUCUCCAUCACAUCAGAGUAGAAUUUGAUCACAGUUUGUUGCGAGGGAUCCUCCACAGGUCACUCGAAAUAAAGGUUCAAGGAUUGUACAGUUCCUGCAUUCCACAAACAGCGACAUUUUCCCGACAAGGUCAAUGUUCACUCACGUAACGUUGACCGGAGUACAGAGGUCGAGUGAAACAGUUGAAACCGACGAUCUAAUCCAUCCAGGGACCGAGUCACAAAUUUGAGCCCAUAACUCAAUCUCCAGGGAGUUUAGUGCUGUACAUCCAUCGUGUCGUUGAGCACAUGUAACACUUUGCACGCCGCUUGCUGGACUUCCUGGCGCUCUGCUUCUAGUUCGUCUUUACGCAGCAUUGCUUGCUUUCGAGACUGGCGCAGCCGCUCCGUGAUGUCAUCAGAGCUCCCUUUUAUCUCGCUGAAAAACAAACAUGUCGCUAGUCCUCCGUGAGCUAUUCUCGAACAAGGCAAUGAUAGUCCGCAGCGAAAACAUGGUGAAGCGCUAUGAUGGCAAACGGUUACUCGCUCUCAUGACCUCUGAACUCUUGGAAUGCAAAUGGAAUUGCGACAGGCGAGGUACUUAUUAGUGACGAAGGGAAAACACGAGUUCAAGUCAUGGUUGAUGUUUGGGCUCACUAUAUGAAAGGCUGCAACACUUCCUUCGAUGACGUAAACUGCUGGAUGCAGUCUGCGGUCACAAACGAGAACGGUGAGGUUCGACUCUUACCAGCCUCAGGCUCUCAUUACGCAUUCAACAUCUCAUCACGAUUACAUCGAUAGUACCCGGCAGGACGUCGCAUCUCGACGGAUAUGGCCAACAAAUGCGCCAUAUCAUCCUCAAGUUUGAUCGAGCGCACGCUACCGUGACCCGAGGCUCGGCAACAUCGUUGCGGGAUGGCAACGGUGUCAUGACUGACUGCUUACAAUUUCUCCACACACACGAAGACGUCACCUGUGCCGCUUACGCUCGCCCAACGAUUACCUGGUGAAGGCUGCGCCAUCUACUCCCCGCUUCGUCACAACGGAAUCAACGUUCACGCACUAGUUCCGUCAACCACAAGACGACUCCUCAACUCAGGCCAUUCUGCGUUCCCUCUCACCUAGAAUGAUCUUGCCUCGAUCUUGCACAUUCAAGAACAUCUGUGGAGCCCAGGUUUAGACCACAAUACCUUGCACCAAGGAGUUGAGACGUGCAGCGAUCAAAUCGCCAACAGCCUCGUCGGUGCUCCGUUCGCCAUUGCUAGUGCCACUGGUCCCGGACCAACUCUUGUGUGGAGCCGGUGGCCUGGACGAGCUCGGACCCGGCGACGAUUCCGCGUUUCCUUGAGACAGACUCUGAUUUGGAUUCGAGUUGUUCAUGGUGCGCAUUUCCGACCACGACAUACCUGCGCAAAAGGACUCUCCGAAACAGGGCCGCCCCGCGCUAAAAAGUUCUGGUGUUGUUUGCUUCCAAUUCGGCUGAACACGACAACGCCACAUUCGUGAGUUUGUAUUGGCAUGACAGAAAAGGUUUCACCAAUUCAAAUUGGCUCAAUGUUCUAACAGUCGACAACAUACAAUCUGCUUUGGUUCCUAUGUCUUCGAGGCACUUCUUGCAAACAUUAUGCACAGGCAUUCAUCAUCCAAACACUGCACUCACAGCCACUUCAAGCCCUCAAGGAAUGCACGCAUCGAAGAAAACAAAGAGCAGAAAGAAUAGAAGCAGACCUGACGAUGAUCCGGAGAUGGAAAUUUGACGAGAGAAUCGCCGUAACCUCCAGGUCGAAAUCGCCACAAGCGGCAGCAGAAGGCUGUGUGCCGCAGGGGACGCGCAGCUUGCGAGAGCGUGAGGGGAACAAGGUGACUCGGGAACUGCUGAAAGUAGGAAAUGGAGCUUCGGCUGGGGACUGAAUCUUGAAUGCCGCGAAAGUGCGAAGGUUUAAAUGAAUGCUCGGGCAGCAUGCACCACCACCAGUGUCACCUGAAAGCCAGAAUAUUCCGUUUUCUGGUUUGGCUGCACGAGCAGAAACAGCUCCGUAACCCCUCUACGUAUAUUCUCGUACAUACAUGUAGAGUAGCACGGACGGUAAUAGGAGCCACAACCUGCAGUUAUGGCAGCACGGACGCGGAGUUGUGUAGUGCAUGCGUGGGUGAUAUUCCGGGGUCUCACUUCGCAAGGCAUCCCCCGAUGGUGGCGCCCCUUCUCCGUGCGCGACGCUUGAAUCCCAAUCCUCAAUAGAUUUGAUCGCCACAGGAUGGCAAUUCCUGUGCUCCUUCCCGCACAUCCCACAGCCCGCUACCCUCCACAACUCUGUCACCUCCCGACGCGCCUCUCCUCCUCACUCUUUGAUUCAUAAGACAAGAACUCUGUUGGAACCCCCUGUUCCAUGGCCGCAGAGAGAGUAGGAGUGAGUUCGAUACCCCAGGGCGUUGUUCGUGGAGAUGGAACAUGAGUGCAGUCUCCGAAUUCGGGCUUCCCCCUUGCGACUUCUUCCAGAAUGCAAUGCCGCAACGAGUAAGAUGCACACACGUCACGCCGCAGAUCUUGAUGCUUGUCAUGUUCCAAGCUCGAUGGCCACCAUCGAAGAGUUUGGAAUCCGGGCUGCGUCACGCUCAGAAAUGGUUACGAAUCGGGGUACGAAUGGCGUGCUCAAAAGCAUUUCGAAACCUCGAACACUUGAGGCCUAGCAAUCACGACGACGGAGAAUCGAAUGCAAUUCCAGCAGGAAUGCCUUCGUCGUGGAGGUACUCAUGUCGAGAUAGUCGAUGCAGUGGCGGCAGUCCCACUCACGGAAUCAGUUCGGUUAUUUGUAAGGGAUUGGGCAGUUCUAGCGUACCAGCCGAUGACUGGCAAAGUUUGAGAAUCUAGAUUUGCGAGCACACUGUCCCCCACAAGACGACUCUCCAUCUUGGAGCUUGGGAAAAGGUCCGGCUGUCUCCUUGCUGGCAACACGAAUCCUAACAAGACCUUCGUAGAUUUGGCAUCCAUAUCAUACGUGCGCCAUAUCAGCCUCUACAGUUUUCAGAGGGGACAAAAUCUAAAGAACCGCAUCGAUUCCUGAGCCAAUCUGCAGAUUCUUCAGCUCGGAUGUAGGCUACUUUCUCGUUUUUGACAUCAUGCUCAAAGCAGGCCUUCCAUACCUUGUAGCAUAUAUCUCGCAUGCGUCUCGUAUCGGCACUUUUUGUCCUCACAGGGCUGCAAUCUAGAGAGCUGCUCCGCUUCCCGAGCGAAUCUGCACCACAUUCCAGCUUGCACGCUUGCUCAUACGCAUGCAAGAUGAAAUACCGGGAGAUGAAGACGGAUUUUCGGCACAAACGCACGAUACAUGCAAGGUUAUUCAUGCGGUUUGGUCUUGCGGCGCACACCCCGUUUGUAUCAUGUCCAGCAUAAACUCAUAUCACACUCAUCAUAUUCGACGAAAAUGUGCACUCGACACGGAGACCAGCAUGUGGAGAAAAGUCAUGAAUGGGUAACACUUUCAAGUCGGAUGCGGCGCUUCAGAUGCCAGUUCGCAGUUUGAAGGAAGGCAUGGAUUAAGGACGCUUGUGCGUUGUGUGAGUUCGUUCUCACGAGUUUGCAAUCCCAGCAAUCUUGAAAAUUUUAUUUUGACAAGUUUGCAAUCCCAGCAAUCUCAUGUUAUUUUGACAAAUUUGUAUGAUAUGGUGACUAGAGAUAAUGCUUUUUGAAAUGUGAAUUAUGACAACUAAUUCAUGUGCUCAAAAAAGAAUCUGACUUACAACUAUUUGAGAAUGUGUCUUGAAAUGAAAGUAGUUGUUUGUGUACAGUUCUAGUAUUGUAUAAUGACAAUGUAGGCCAUUUUGUGGUAAAAUUAUAGACUUUCUGUAUUUCUUACAGUAAUGAAUGAAAAUGUUAUAAUUAUGAAACUUUAAUUGUCACAUUAUAUCAUUUCAUAAAUUUUUAUUGGUAAAUGAUUAAAUUGUUGAUGAAUUUUCAUAAUAGCAUUUGGGAAUAUCACAAUAUAAUUGUCUGGUUCAUUAUAUUGAGAAUUGUGUGAAAAAGAUUUUAUGCUCCAAAAGUUGAUCAGGUAAUGUUUGGAGGUAAAGUUGAAAAGAGAGGAAGAAAAAUUGUUUCAAAGUAUUAUGGAAUGUUGUAGUAGUAUUGUUUAUAAAAACAAUCAAAAGAAUUCAAAAAGAUACUUUCAAGAUAUGGACCCUUUUUAUGAUGUGAAACAGAUAUAUGCAAGAGAAACUAUUGUUUUGUAGAACAACCAAUUUAUUUAAACAAAGUUUAAAAUGGCCAAUGUAUAUAGUAUCAAAUAUUGAUAUAGAAGAAUAAAGAACAUAUAGAUUUAGAAUAGAGCAUCUUGUUGCAAUUACUUAAGUUAGUAUUGACUAUGAUAAAACUAUGGAUGUUGUAAUAUCAACAUACAAGUUUCUAUGUGUUUUUCUUAUUAUAAAUUUAGUAUUUUUUUUAAAUAUAUUAUGACUUUUAUAGUACCAUAAACUCACCACAAAAAGUUGAGACUUGUGUUAUUUUAUUUAUUCUUAUUAGACUUAAAUCUUCUCUUUGACCACAAAAAGAAAAAAUAUUGGAGUAUAGUAUAAGAUGUAGCCUAUGACUUUCAAAACCACCUUUAAUCAAGUGAAAACAAUUAUAGAGUGUAGUUUCAAGUAUUUUCUAGAACUUUCAAGUCAAUCUUUUUUAUACUUAAUUAAUAUUCUUAGAUAUUUUAAUUUUAUCUUCAUCCAAUUCUUAUACAUAAAAAUAGUUUUAAUAAUAAGAUUUCAAAUUUAGAGUUUUUUAUUUGAAAGUGUUGUCAAAUUUUUACAUAUAUGUUAUUUUCUAUUUGUUGAUAGCAUCUCUUAUUAUAAUUAUUAUUGAUCAUAAUCACUUUAUGCUGGAGUUCAAAUUAAUAUUUGCUUGGCCAUCCACAAUACAUAUCCAAGAAGUCAAAGAACUUUCCACCAAGCUAAAGCAAAAGUACCCCAACAUAGAUUGAAGAUAAAAAUAUGGUAUUAGGAUAUUAUGCUAUGAUUUGGACUUUUAGUAUUGCCACUAGUAGUGAUGUAUAUAUAGGUUGUGAAUAGCUUGGUGGAUUUUCUUCAUAUCUUGCUGUAAGUGUGUUGUCAUAGCUCAUAGGUUUUUUAAGACCUAAUCUUGGAUGAAUGAUUAUUGUCUAUAUGAAGAAUUCAUGUAAAAGUAAAAUAUUUUCCAAUGACAAUAGUUUGAUUGCAAUCAAAAAUUUCAAAUAGAGCUAUGGUAAGAAGAAGAGUAGAAAUGUCAUACUAAAGCUUGACGUAAAGUUAGUCUUUUGUAUCAAUCAAGUGACAAUAAAAAAAAUAAAGAUAUAUGAUUCAAUGACUAAUUGCUCCAGACUAAUGUGCAUUUUAAUGUAGAUAUAAUAUGGUCUAUGUAGAGGAUUAAAAGAAAAAAAUAAAAUAAAAUAGAUAAUAUAAAAGAUUUUAUAUCUAUAAUAAUUUUUAAAUCAAUUUUAUCUAAAUUAUCUUUUUUAGAUAAUUUAUUUGAUUCUAUAUUAGUUUGGACUCUAGACUACAUAUAAAUGGAUAUUAAAUGAGAAGGUUAUCUCUAAAUCAAGUAUUAUGGGGUUGAAUUUUAGAGAUUUUUAAGUCUAGUACUAUAAAUAUGCUUCUAAUAAUUUAUCUUACUAUCAAUAUAACAAAAAAAAAUUAUAAUUUUAAAGCUUGACUUGUUUAUGAACUCGACAUGUGAUGCAUACAUUAUAUUUGGAGAAGACAAGAUUGACGAUUUGAGCUUGCAACUCCAAAGUUGAAUAGCAAAGCAAUUCAAGGUAUCAAAAAUAGCAAAGACAAAGGAAAAAUAAAAAGAAGAGGAUGAGAUGGGUUUGAAAUAAACAAACAUUGAGUUGGUGAUGAAUUAAGCAUGAAUAUCCAUAACAAAGGCUGCAGAGGCUCUCAAGGUAAUAAAUGAAAAUAUCAUUGAAACCAUUAUGGAUCUUUGUUGAUGAUAAUGAAUCUGAUAUUUUUUAAUACCAAAUCUUUGUUCCAAUCUAUGAUAUUGGCAAAAACUUCUGAAAUUUCUUUGACUAAAAAUAAAAACUAAAUCAAUACUUAUUCAGGUUUGAAAUGGACUUUACUUUUUUAAAUGUUUUAUAAAUGGUUGAAAUAAACUUCUUUUGGAUGACUUUCAUCCAAAUAACUUAAUUUUAAUUUCUUCUAAUUAUUAUGGUAAUCAUAUUUAUAACCAAAAAUAUGUGUAUAAAUAUCUUUUUUUAUCAUUGUAUUUUUUUAAUUUAUAUUAUUUUAUGAAUAUAUAAUUACUUGUACAAUUAAUUUCUACAUGAUAUUAAAAGAUUUUUUCUAAUUUUUUUUUUUUAAUUUUUACUUCUUUCUUUCUUCUUCUUAUGUCCUUCCUUGAAUUUAGGUUAUUUAUUUUAUUAUAGAUUUUGUUCUCAUAGAUAAAAAGAUUUCAAAGACUAUCAAAUUCUAAGGUGCUUUUAAUUACACCAUUUUUUCAUAUAAGAUUAAAACAUGCUUAUAAGAAAAAAAAUUGUGACAUGUAGUUGCAUCCAAUAUAACUACAAAAGCCUUGUUGACUACCUACUCUACAGAUUUUAUUGGCAAUAUUAAUCCUAAGUCAAGGAUAUGAAUUUCAAAAAAGAAAAUUUCAAUAUACUCUUGUAUCACUAAAAAAUAUUAAGAAAUCACUCAAAGAUCAUAAUAUAUUAAACUAAAAUGGCUAUUGCUAAAGACAAGAAGACUAGAAAGACUUGAAAUAAGAUGAUGUCACUGACAUAUACAUGUAAGCUAGUAAUUACCUAUAUAAAUAGGUAGAAGUAAGUAGAAGUAGGUAAAAGCAAGUUAAUUCUAUAAUAUCUUCCAUAGAAGCUUUCUAGAAGCUUUAUAGAUGCUGCUUUGACUUUAUAGGUGUAUUUAAUUGACUUUUUGGGUUAGAAAUGUGGUCGACAAGUUGGCCACAUGCCACACAUGUUGUUAGCUUGAGGAUCAAGCUAACUAUGUAGCCCACACGUAGAAAAAAUUGCCUUAUAAGUCAAAGCAUGUGUCCUACAAAGUCAACACACAUUGGAGGUUCUAUAGAACAUUGUCUUGUAGCCCCUAGUUAGAUAAUAUAUAUAAAGAUAAGAGUAAAGUUCUCUUCAUUCUUGUUAACUCCUUUCUUACUUCUAGUCUAGUUUCAAGAGUCUCAAGUUUUCUUGUCUUUUGGCAAUUAGCCUUUCCAAUUUCUUUUAAUAUAUGUAAUUCCUAAUUUUUAUUUUUUCACUCUUUUUUUGACACGGAUUUCAUUGGUUUAUAUAUCAUCUUUUAUUUCAUAUUCUUAACAGAUUGACAAGAGUACACUUACAGUAUCAGAGCUUUGUCUUGUCUUGAUUAAGAAUGGAUUAUCUCUUUCUCAUGAUAAGACAUAAGCAUAUUAGAAGUUGUGGAUUAUCUUCUUCUAAAAUAAUAUUAUUCUUAGUAUUUUUUUUGUCCUCAAGUUCUUUCUUUUACUUGUCUUCACUGAUAUUAGAUAUUUUUCUGAGUGUUAUUAUGGUAGAGCUUGUUAAAAUUAAGAGUGCAAUGGUACAAAUGCAAGAACAAUUGAAAGAAUUAAUGCUUGUAAUGCAUCAACUUAGCUUACCACCACAAAGAUCAACAAGAAUGGCAUGAAAUAAGCAUGUAGAAAUGAUUAGAGCUGCUUCAACAUCUACACCAAAUCAUGUCUCUUUAUCUACAAUGGAACAUCCUUCAAGUAUUAAAGAACCAAGAAUUACCCUGUCCGAGAAGUUUGAUGGUACAAGAUCCAAAUUUCGAGGAUUUAUCAAUUAAGUACAACUUGUGAUUGAACUUCAACCUCAAAGCUAUCCAACUCCAAGAUCAGAAGUUAGAUUCAUUGGUAUACUUGUUUCAGAUUCACCACUAUCGUAGUUUUCAUCUUUUCUUGAGCAACAAGAUCCAAUAUUGAAUAAUUUGGAAUCAUUUUUGGUAGAAUUUUGGUCCAUGUGUAGAGAACAUGUUACAACUCGUAUUACAACCAAUAAGAUCUAUAUUUUAUGAGAAAGAAAUCCAUUUGUAACGUUAUUUGUUUCACAAUUUUGACAACUUGCAACUGAUAUCAAGUACAAUGAUAUUGCACUUAUUAGCCAAUUUCUCUAUGGAUUACAAUAUGAAGUAAAGAAAUUAAUGCUCAAUUUACUUGAUCUUCAAACAUUGAAUCAAGCAAUUGACUUUGCUAUGAAAUGCAACAAUCAAAUUUUUAAAUUUCAAUCUAAGAGUCAUACAAAUGGGCCUCAACAUCACUAUAAUUUGAUGGCAACACCAAUAUCUCCUCAACACAUAUAUUUAGAAGCAGAGGAUAUGCAAAUUGAUACUGUAUGUUUUAAACCUCUUAUCGAAUAAGAAAAGACUUGUCGUCGUCAAGAAAGAUUGUGCUUAUAUUGUGGAGAAUUUAAACACACUGUUCAAUAUUAUCCAAAAAAGUGACAAAAUCACAAAAUAAGGAGCAUACAAUCUAGUACACAUUAAAGAAGGAGAUGAAUGGAAUACUACAUUUCGAAUUAGGUAUGAGCAUUUUGAAUACAACGUCAUGCCUUUUGGACUUAAAAAUGCACCAACAGCUUUUCAACAUUUGAUAAAUGAUUUUUUUCAAGAGUUUUUAGACGAUUUUAUCAUCUAUUAUCUAGACGACAUCUUGAUCUAUUCUAAGAACAAAGAUGAACAUGAACUUCAUGUUUGUCAUGUGUUACAAAAAUUAAGAGAUGCGAGAUUCUAUGCCAAGAUAAAAAAGUGUGUAUUCUACGCUACUCAAGUCGACUUCUUAGAAUACAUCAUUUCAAAUAAUGGACUUAUGAUGGAUCCCAAGAAAGUUCAAACAAUUAUAAAUUGAAAGAUUCCAAAAACGAUAAAAAAUAUCCAAUAUUUUUUGGACUUUGCCAACUAUUAUCAAAUUUUCAUCAAAGACUUCUCUCGAGUUGCAGCUCCACUUAAACGUUUGACUUGCAAAGACAAAUUUGAGUGGAAUAAAGAAGUUGAAGCAUCUUUUGAAACUUUGAAAUCAUCUUUUAUUUUUGCACCAAUCUUGUAUCGCAUUAACUUUUUUAAGGUAUUUUUUAUGGAAACAAAUGCAUUAGACUUUGCUUUGGUUGUUGUAUUAUCACAAAUGGGAAUAGAUGAUAAACUUCACUUAGUAGCUUUUCAUUCCAAAAAAUUUUCAGCAGUCGAGAUUAACUAUGAAAUCUACAACAAGGAUCUUCUUGAAAUCUUGGAUUCAUUUCAAGAAUGGCAUCAUCAUCUAGAAGGUACUUCUAAUCCAAUCACCGUUGUUGUAAUACGUGAAGUCUUACUUGAGAAUGCUCCGCGCACCUAGUUGUGGAAGAUAGAAUAAAAAUUGCAACAACAAAAUCUUAACUAUAAUAGAAUACUAAUUAAACUCUAAUUAGACCAUAAUAAUGCUAAGCAAGCUUUAAUCAAAUUCAAAAAAACCUCAAAGAAAUUUCAAACAAAUAAUAAAAAUUCUUAAAGAAAUAUUAGAAUGAUCACAAAUAUCACUCAAAUACAUCUCAAUUCAAUCUUAAUUUAAUUCUAGUUAAAACACCUAUUGAACUCCAUUCAAACUUUAGGCCAAAACUAAUUAAAUCUUAAAUCUUAAUAAAAUCCUAAAUCCUAAAUCAAACUCUAAUCAAACCCUAAACCUUAAACGAAGUCCUAAUAAAAUCCUAAAUCAAAUCCUAAUGAAACCGUAAUUCAAAUCUUAAACCCUAAACCAAACCCUAAAUUAAAUCCUAAAUCCUAAAUCAAAUCCUAAUCCAAAUCUUAAAUCCUAAAUUAAACCCUAACUAAAUCUUAACUAAAUCCUAAUCCAAACCCUAAAUCCUAAACCAAAUUCUAAAUCCUAAAUCAAAUCCUAACUAAAUCCUAACCAAAUCUUAAACCAAAUCCUAAAUCCUAAAUCAAAUCCUAACUAAAUCCUAACAAAAUCCUAAAUCAAAUCCUAACUAAAUCCUAAUCCAAACUCUAAUCCAAAUCCUAAAUCCUAAAUCAAACCCUAACUAAAUUUUAAUCAAAUCCUAAUCCAAACCCUA
RNAcentral lists this long non-coding RNA (76859 nucleotides) under Physcomitrium patens. RNAcentral describes it as "long non-coding RNA (PPAT_LNC005437)". The record is from RNAcentral. Lineage: Eukaryota; Viridiplantae; Streptophyta; Bryopsida; Funariales; Funariaceae.